RNAcentral lists this long non-coding RNA (46813 nucleotides) under Arachis ipaensis. Its description in RNAcentral is "long non-coding RNA (AIPA_LNC001441)". The stretch from base 44385 to 44485 matches the Rfam family "mir-166 microRNA precursor family". Lineage: Eukaryota; Viridiplantae; Streptophyta; Magnoliopsida; Fabales; Fabaceae. The record is from RNAcentral.
AAACUCUAACUUAUUACCAGUAUUAUAAUGAAUUAUGAAUGAUUCAUUUCUUUAUUCAUUCAAAUCCCUUUGUCAAGGCUCUGUUUAAUUCAUUCACUAUAAUUUUAGAGCUCAAACUCAUUACCAUAGUUGAUGAAUUUCAUAUUGACUAACACUAAAAGAAAAACACUGAGAAUCGUCAGAUUUAGCGGCGUCGAUUACCGACGGAUUUAGCGUCGGAUUUCGUGUCAGAUACAAGGCAGCUUAGAUUUUCCGAAAUGUUUAUCGUGGGAUUUUAUAUUCCGAUGGUGAUUAGUAGCGUGAAAUUUUGAUUUGUGGGUGCCAACAUUAUCGUCGAAUUUUUCCGACGGUAAUUCGCUUUAGUGAAACGCUGCAUUUGACCAAUUUACCAUUAGCGUAGUCCGAUGGUAAAUUCGACGGUAAGUUGAUUUAAAAUUCAAACGCGAACCCUUCUUCUUCUUCUUCUUCUUCUUCUUCUUCUUUUUCUUCUUCUUCUUCUUCUUCUUCUUCUUCUUCUUCUUCUCUCUCUCUCUCUCUCUCUCUCUCUCUCGCCGGAGCCUCUCAUGCCGCCGUUGCUAGACGUUCUCGCCACUGGAGCUGUCGGUCACUGCUGGGAAGGUUGGGAACGCCGCCGCUAUUUUUUGUGCCCACUAUCGUCGGUGUCGCCUUCACUACUAGUGCCACAACACCUCUAGCAUCCUGCAGCCACCAUUAAAGAUAAUUUUGGCAUAGUUUUUUAAUUUUAUUAAGAUUUUUAUGUGGGUUUAGAAUUUUUUGUUAAAUAGUUUAUAAAAUUUUUUAUUAAAUUAUUGUAAUGAGUUUGUGAUUGGGAUUUGGUAUAUUUUUUUUUACUGUUUUUCAGAUUUUUCUGUAACUUUAGAAUUUUGUUAGGUAUUUUACCAAAUUAUUGAUUAAAUUAUUGUAACAGAGUUUGUAGUUAGGGUUUGGUUUGUGGUUUUUAGUUUUUAGUUUUUUCAAAUUUUUGUGUGAGUCUAGGGUUUUGUUUAUAUUAAGAAUUUUAUUAUCAAAUAAUUGAUUAAAAUAAGGUUUGAAAUUUGUGAUUAGAAUUUCUUAUGUCAAUUUAACGUAAAUAGAAAUUAUAAUUCAAUUAAUGGCUAAGUAGGGCGAGAUUAAGAGUGUUCGACAUUGUUGGUGGAUGAUUUUGUGAAGUUUAUUGAAUUAAUUAGUUUCACCUUGUCAGUUUAAUAAGUUUUUUUUUUUAUUAAGACGAUGGCAUUUCUCUGAGAUUAAUUGGAUUUCACUUCUUUCAUAUUCUGUGCAUUCAUGUUUCUGGUAGGUUUUCUAUCUCUAACUAUAAUCUAUUGUUUAAGUUUUAUGUUUGACUUACUUUUCCUAGGAUAGCGUUUUAGGACGGAAAUGAGAGAAGGUCGCGUAGAGGUGCCUUCUCAAAAUCCUUGUUUGCUCGAAAAUUGUGGAGUUAUAAGGGAUUGCACACUAGAACGGUUAGGAUUUGAUAUGUUAUUGAGUUUGUGUUUGUUCUAAUAUAUGCUUGCAGCUGUUUUCACUAUGAAAAUUUUUAUUUUUUUAGAUGUCUCUGAAUUAAGGAAAAAUUUUGCCGAAAUUUCGUGUGAUUUGUUUUAAAAUUUGUUUGGUUUAUAGAAGAUUAUAAUUAUAGGGUUAUGCUCUGUCGAAUUUUGUAAAAAAUUUAAUAAUUUUGUCUUGUUCAUCGAAUUCUAAGGUGUGUGAUUCAAUUUGAUUUCAAGUUAUCGUCUAUGGAUAUAUGAUAGGAAUAACGAUGGACGGGAGAAUUAAAACCUGAAUUCUUUAAAGAGGUUGAUGCGUUUGUCGGACAUGUGUUCAGCAUGAAACUAUUUAGGUCUGAAGGGGGUAUCUAGGUGUCCGUAUGAAAAGUGUCAGCGGACUAAGUGAUUAGGACCUACGGAUAUACCGCUUCUCCUUUACCAUAACGGGUUCAAGGAUGGGUAUUGGAUGUGACCGGACCAUAGAGAAGUGAACAAACAGGAAAUUAACCAGUCUGCCUCGAAUUUGAAUAGGUCCGACUAUCGGUCAACGAGAGUUUGAGUGGAAAGAAAACUAAACAUGGAAGACAUGACUUGGGAGGGUAACCAAGAGAGAUACAACGAGAUGGUGCUUGACGUAACAGGUGUUACGUCAUUGGAAGAGGCUAAACAAGAGCCUAACUCGGAGACAAGGAUAUUUUAUCAUCUGUUAAAAUCUGCUGGGAGACCGUUGUAUGAGGAUUGCGUUCAUUCAGAGUUGUCUGCAUGUGUUAGAAUGAUGAUUAUUAAGUCGAAAUCAAAUCAUACGCAAGAGUCUUUUGAUAGGUGGGCUACCCUUUGCAACGAACUGAUACCUGUCGGGACCUCUGGCAUCCUUUGAAACACUACGAAGUAAAGAAGCUAGUUUCAAAAUUGGGUCUAAAUUCGUUGAAAAUUGAUUGUUGUUUGAAUGGGUGUAUGAUGUAUUACAAGAGAGAUGCAGACCUAACUGAAUGCAGAUUCUGUAAAUCACCAAGGUUCCAAGUCGAGAGAAAACAUAUUGGUAAACACCGAUUAAAGAGAGUUCUGAUGAAAUGGAUGCACUACUUGCCCUUGAUCCCUAGGCUGAAACGAUUGUAUGCAUCGAUGAGUUCUCCCCCUCACAUGACCUGCCAUUAUAAUAAGAAGAGGGAUGAUGGAAUCAUUACGCACCCGUCACAUGGAAAAGUCUGGCAACAUUUUGAUCGGGUGCAUCCUACAUUUGCGAGCAAGUCGAUAAAUAUUAUACUAGCUUUGUGCUCUGACGGGUUCACACCGAAUUUCAAUUUUGGUAAUGCGUACUCUUGUUGGCUUGUAGUCGUGACACCGUAUAACAUGAGUUCCAAAAUAUGCAUGAAGGACCCACACAUGUUCCUAACUUGCAUUAUCCUGGUCCUAACAAUCCAAAAGCCACAAUAGAUAUCUUCUUGCAGCCCUUGGUGGAUGAGUUAAAGGAGUUGUAGAUUGAUGGUGUAGAAACGUAUGAUAUUUCGACGAAGACAAACUUCAAAUUGCGAACUGUGUUGAUGUGGACCAUUAAAGACUUUCUUGCAUACGGCAUGUUGUCUAAUUAGUCCACUCAGGGCAGAAUGGCAUUCCCCAUUUAUAUGAAGGAUACGAAGGCAUUUUGAUUGCCGAAUGGCGGUAAGAAUUUAUGGUUUGAUUGCCAUCAAAGAUUCCUCGACUUUGAUCAUCCUUUUCGGCGAAACAGGACUCCUUCAAAAAGAAUAAAAAUGAACACGAAGAGGCACCCAUAAAGUUGAAUGGUAGGUAAGUUUGGAAUCGCAUCAGUAGAAUCCCAAUGAUCGUAAAAAACGGGGCAUGUUUGAGACCUCUAGGAUAUAGCAGGGAGCAUAAUUGGACUAAACAAAGUAUAUUUUGGGAGUUGCCUUAUUGGAGAAAUAGUUUGGUUCGACAUUGUCUUGAUUUGAUGCACAUUGAAAAAAACAUGUUCGAUAAUAUCAUACACACAGUAAUGGAUGAUGAGCGAACAAAGGAUAAUGAUAAGGCAUAGUUAGACUUGAUGGACAUUUGCAGGUGGCCAGAUUUGGACUUAAGGAGACUUAAUAACUAGUGGUGGGCUAAAACCAAAGGCAGUGUUAAUUCUAACAAAAGUGCAGAGGCAAAAUAUUUGUAGGUGGAUUAGGGGAUUGAGGUUUCUUGAUGGUUACGCCUCUAACUUGAGUAGCUGUGAAAACGUGUCACAGGGUAGGCUUGCUGGGUUGAAGAGCAACGAUUGUCAUGUUUUCAUGAAGUCUUUGCUUUCAGUCGCAUUUAGAGAACUUCCAACUAACAUCUGGAAACCCCUCACAGAAAUAAGUGAGUUCUUUCGGGAGUUAUGUGCUACCAAACUUAGCAUUAACGAUCUCACAGUCAUGGACAAGAACAUUCUCACCAUACUUUGUAAGCUAGAGAGAACAUUCCCUCCAUCCUUUUUUGACAUUAUGGAAAACUUAGCAGUCUACCUACCGUUCGAAGUACUACUAUGUAGACCAGUCCAAUUUUAGUGGAUGUACCCAUUUGAGAGGAUGAUUGGUUCUUUCAAGCGCACUGUGAAGAACAGGACUCGGAUUAAGGACAGCAUCUGCGAAGCAUUCCUAGCUAAGGAAACAUAUGCAUUUUUCUUAUUCUAUUUUCAGUUUUAUGUUGAUUCACGUAGAACAAGGGUUGCAAGGAACAAUGAAGGGGGAGGGAUUAUCAUUGGGUGGAACAAAAUACCCAAUCUUUACUCUGGAAGGAGCUGUAAUGGGUGUGAAUAGUGACUACUGGUUAGAGCAAAAGGAAAUUAAUGCCACACAUCUGCAUGUGUUGCUUAACUGUGACCAGAUUUUACCGAACCUCAUGUGAGUUUAUUAAGUCCUCGUAAAUAUUACAAUCAGUAACAUUUGUGCUUCUUAAUCUAAUCAAAACUUCUUUAUCUUAUUCUAUCAUAUAGGUUAUUCCAAGAGACAAAUCUUGAUACCUCAUUGAACAACUUUUCACGUUGAUUCAGAGAUUACGUCAGCAUGCAGCUAACUGACACAACAGAUUCGGAACUAAUUGCACUUAGUUGGGGCCCAAAGAAUAAAGACACUAACUGCCCGAUGUACACUGUUAAUAGAUAUCGGUUCCAUACCUUACAGUGGUCGAUUGGAAAGAAAAUAGAUAACACCGGAGUUUGGGUUCAUGGGAUUCAGGCGAAGGUCACUCUGAUUGCUUUGGUGUGUUGGACAACAUUAUUGAAUUAAAGUAUUUAUGUCGCACUACGUACAAGGUAUGCAUGCUUAAAUGUGAAUGGUGUGAUCCAAAUUCGUGAUAAAAAACAUGAAAGCAGAAUGAUUAUGAUAUCACUGAAGUUAAUUUAACUAGGAAAUAUAGGCACUAUGAUCCUUUUAUUCUAUCUCAAAAUGCAAGAUAGGUGUACUUUUUGCUUUAUCCGGGUUCAUGCAAAUCUAGUUGGGUGGUUAUGGUUAAGAAUGAUUCAAGAGGCCGGAUCGAGUCUGAUGAUAGGACAGAAGAUCAUGAACCUUACCAGAUUGAUGACCCAACUCCUUCGAAAAUGGUGGUUGAUACCGGUGAGCCGAUUACCCUUAGCUUGAAUGAUGAUAUCCUUAACCUUGGAUUACAUCACGACACACUACCACAACACGUCGACGAUCUUCAACAAGAAGACGAGAUCGACGUGGACGAAGAAGAGAAAGACGAGUUCGAUGAUCAGGAAACUCGGAAGACAAGGAUGGUGAACCAGAGAAAGAAGAUGAUGAAUCUGAAUAGGAUUAAUGUAAAUAUAGUUUUAUGAUAUGUAUAAUUCAUUGCCAAACUUUGAGAAGAAUAUAAUGUAAUUAACAUUGUUUCAGAUAUAUCAAUUACCAUCAUUCCGUAUUUUUAUGUUGUAUGCUUGAUAUUUCACUUCAGGUUUAAAGCACUGUUUCAAUUAUGCUUGUUAUCAGAUUACGCUAUAAAUGGACAGAAAUUACUAUUUUUAAAAUAAUAAAAAAUUCUUUCCGUCGGAUUAAUUCAACAGUAACUGUCAACAGAUUGUGUUAUAUAUUCCGUCGCUAAAUCCGACAGAAAUUAGUGUUGGACACUAAAAUUCCUCCGGUAAGUAUUUUUCGACGAGAUUUAUACAUUUAUUCCACCGCUAAAUCUGGCGGUAACCAGUUUACCAUGGGAUUUAUCUAGAAAAUUUGUCGGUAAAUCCAUCGGUACUUGGCGACUUUCUUAUAGUGUAAUCAUUAAUUCUAUAAGUAUUUAAAUCAUACACAAUAUCUAUUCAACUAGCACCAUAGGGUAUUAAGUGUCCCGAAUUAAAGUAUAAUAAUUACUUUGUUAAUUACUAUGAUAGUCGCAGGUCAAAAGAAAAUUAUAACAUUCACUAUAGCACUUUUUGUUUAUUGCAACAUACGUUCAAGACAACACUUCGAAAAGGUUGCCUAAAAUAUAUAUAGACAAUUCUUUAUACUAGUCACAAAAAAUAGAACUAUAAUAACGUUUGUUUUAUCAACACGCUAUAAGUGAUUCCUUUGAUAAAUUAAAAGACACUUAUCAAGUGUUGCCCUAUCAAAUACACAUAAACCACUAUUAUAAAGUCAAUAUAUUACUUUUUCAAAACAUUGUCUUUAAAUUUAUUUUAAACUUCACUUUCUAAGUGUUGUCAAAAAUUUUUAAUGCCUCUCCCAAAAAAUAAAUCUUACCAACAUAUUUUAACUUUAAUUUCAAGCUUUUACCAAUUUUCAAAUAAAAAAAAUCCAACUUAAUAAAUAAUAACUAAAAACAAAAGCAACAAAAUAGGAUUAGGGUUCUACUGUGGGAAAAAGGGGGAGAAGAAGAAAGAGAAGAAAGAAAAAAGGAGAACCACCAUCGAAGGAGGAAGACGAGAAAGAAGGAGAAGAAGACGACGGAAAGAGAAGUUGCCAUCGCCACUUUCUUCACUUCAUUAUCAUCUCUGCCUUGUGUUGCUAUUGUCGUUUCUACCUUGCACUACUGUAAUCCCUCUUCUCUACUCACCGUCGUCGUGUUCCUCAUUGCUCGAGCUUGCGCCAUGUUUUGCUCACUCACGUUCGAGCAUCGAUCGUCUCCGCUCGUGGUUUGAGCUUCAAUCGUGUCCGCUCGCAUUUGUUCAUCACCGCCAGUUACUAUUUUGCAGGUACUUAUGAUUUUGCCUAUUCUUUUUGCUUUUCCAUUUUCGCACUUUGAAUCCUAAUUUUAAUAAUGUUGUUGUUGCUAUUAUAGCAUUUUUGGUAAUAAUAUUGAUGUUUCAAGCUUCUCUAGUUUCUGCUCGCCAUUCAUCUCUUACUAAAAGAAGAGUGGCAAGAGUUGAUUCAGGUUCCCACUCUUAUUUAAUCUUAUAAGAUAUUUUCAAUAUAGUAACAAUAUUACUAACCUAUAAUUUAUUAUCAAUUUUCAAGAUUUUAGUCCGAACACCGGUGACAUCGAAGCAGUUGAUCCUGUAAGUAUUGCAACAUUCAAAAUUCUGUUCUAAGAGAUAAUAUUUGUUAUUUUCUUGGUGAAACUAUAUUUUGUAAUUUUAUUCUAAUGAGAUUUGCACAUGAUAAAUAAAUCAAAAAAUCAAUUUGCACUUCAGAAGAGGAUGAAUUUUUGUUGCUGUGGUUGAAAACUUGCUUGCAAAGGGAAUGAGAAGUGCUUAAAAUGUAAUUGACAUUGAUGAUUUGUGAGUUUUAUUUAUUUAUUUAUUUAUCUUCCAAAUGAUUUGUGUUCACUAAUUGAAAAUUGCAAGUACAUGCUAUUCUUUCAGGGUGUUUAGCAGGAAGAUUGAAAGCAAUACUACAAUAUGAUCGCUUUAGAUCUCUAAUUCCGGCCAGAGCUAAAGCGAAAUGCAUUUCAAAUGCUGGUUAUUUCAUUAAUGUGUAUGCUUACUACUUUUACUUUUCUUUCUAUUUAUUUCAUGGAACUUGUUACCUCAUUUUUUUUAACAUAACAUAAAGGAUGUCUUUGGAGCAUAACACAUUCAAGAGUUCUAUAGUCAAGUUGUUGCAACGCAUGUAUGUUGACUAAAUCUCCAAAGUGGUCCCUGAGAUUAACGUGGCACACUACAAUCAUUCCUGAUAUUUCAAUUGCACUAAUUACAUCCCUGAGAUUGAAAAAAUUGCACCAUAUUAGUCCCUGAUCCAUUUUCCGUUAACGACACGCUAACGUGGCUAGAUGACGUGGACCUUUGGUGACAAAUGUCACCUCAUGGUUUGACCACGUUUGACGGUAUGAUGAUGUGUCGGUCAGUAACACGUGACAUGCUCACGUGGAUGGUUAUACCAUAUGUCACAAUGCUAUUUUGCCACGUGUCGGGUUAUGCCACGUGUCACAAUUUUAUUUGUCCACGUGUUAUCCACUAUGUCAUAAUUACAUAUGCACCAAAUUGGUCCCUUACUUUAUAUCAAAUGACUCAUUUUAGUCCCUGAAAUUGAAUGUCCUGCACCAAAUUAGUCCCUUCAUCAGUUUGUUCUCUUUCUUUUAUAAAUUCAAAAUUUUUAAUAUCUUUGAAUAUAGUAAUUUUAAUUUUAUCUUUUCACAAGUUAUUUAAAUACAAGUGCUUUAUAANNNNNNNNNNNNNNNNNNNNNNNNNNNNNNNNNNNNNNNNNNNNNNNNNNNNNNNNNNNNNNNNNNNNNNNNNNNNNNNNNNNNNNNNNNNNNNNNAGAUAUUGAUAUUAAUUUAGUAGAGAGUGUAAGUUAAGAGUAUAAUAAUAUUUCUCAAUACAAACUUUUUAAUAUUUAACACCUUAAUAAAUAUUUUAAGAAUACUUGAUAAGACACUUGUUAACUAAUAUAAAUUCAUUAUUUCUAUCUGUUUUAAGAAUGUUCGAUUUCCCAUAAUUGACUUUUUGCUAAAUUAAUAAGAUAGAUUUAUACUGUCGAUUAUAAUAUAUUUUAUCUAUAACUUAGCUAGGCGGACUUUUCAUAUAUUACACUAUUAAUUAAUAUAAGCACUUAUUAUAACCAUCGCUUGAACAAUAUUAAGAUACAAAUAAAUAAAAAAAUUAGUGUAUAAAAAAAUAUUGAGUUUUAAAUUUCAUGUUCGAUUUAAUUAACAUGUGUUCUAAUGAUACAAGUUGAAAUUAGUAAUUAAAAAUUUCAGUAUAAAAAAUUGUAUAAUAAAAGAUAAAAUUAAAAUUAGUGUAUAAAAAGUAUUGAGUUUUAAAUUUACAAAAAAAUGAGAACAAAUUGAUAAAUGGACUAAUUUGGUGCUCGAUAUUCAAUUUCAGGGACUAAAAUGAGUCAUUUGAUACAAAGUAAGGGACCAAUUUGGUGCAUAUGUAAUAAUGACAUAGUGGAUGAUACGUGGACAAAUAACAUUGUGACACGUGACAUAAUCCGACACGUGGCAAAAUAGCAUUGUGACACGUGGCAUAACCAUCCACAUCAGCAUGCCACGUUUCGCUGACCGACACAUCAUCAUACAGUUAUACGUGGCCAAACCAUGAGGUGACACGUGUCACUAAAGAUCCACAUCAUCAAGCCACGUUAGCACGUCGUUAACGAAAAAUGGGUCAGGGACUAAUAUGAUGCAAUUUUUCUAAUCUCAGGGACGUAAUUGGUGCAAUUGAAAUCUCAGGGACGAUUUUGGUGCACGACGUCAAUCUCAGGGACCACUUUGGAAAUUUACUCCUUGUAUGUUUCUUGAUUGACUCACAUGAACCAUUUAGUCUGAUAGAGCUUGAUUGUGUUUUUCUUCAUUAUCUCAUCAAGGAUCGGCAAAGAAUUUGCCUGCCUAGUGCACUUCAAGACUGAGCCCAUGUCUAGUUAGUUUGUGAGUUGUGACCUAUUUAUUUUUCAUUAUGAGCGAGAGUUAUUAUUUCAUAUAUGGCUUGACUUGGUCUUCAUCAUGUAAUCCAUGUAGUAUUUCUUCCCAGAGAAUGUGGUAUCACAGUGAAGACACCAAUUUUCUUUGUUAAUGCAACAUAUGACUCAUGGCAGGUAAGAUUGUUGUUGUUGUGUUGUGGUGAAUAAGGAAGCAUUAAUUAAUAAGGAAGGUGUUGAUUUGUGUGUUCAGAUACAGAAAAUAUUGGUACCGGGUGUUGGCCAAAACAACAUUCGCAAAGGCUGUGGAAUAUUGGUAUUAUGAAAGAAGGCCAUUCCAUGAGAUUAAUCGCACUUACCCUUGCAACCCCACAUGCCAUAACCUUAUCUUUGAUAACAAUCAUCGCUCAGAUGAUUAGACACUUAUUUGAUAACCAAUGAUCAUGGCCUUUGCCACUCAUCCUUACAAGAUCUCAAGGUAAUUAAUAAUAAUAAACAACAUCCAUGUAAUUAUUUCUAAUAUGUAAUUAAUCUUGUUUAUUUGAGUUAUUUUGUGCACGCAGAGAUUUGAGUUAUAAUAAAGGUGUCUUUGCCUAUUCAUCAACACAACAAACAUGUAGGUUUAUAUAUAAAUUUCUCAGCUCUCAUAUAUGAAAGUCAGUUAAUUUAUUAGAAGUUUAAUUAAUUUGAAUUAUAUAUUUUUAAGUACAGAAAGGAGAAAAGUGCUACUUGUUGAAAAGUAGUAGUAGUAAUGAGGAAUCAAGUAGUAUUGGCUACAAAUUCAAAGAGGAAGAAUGCACAUGUACCAACAAGAAAGUGCACACACAAAUUCAAAAGCUUCUUAUCAUACAUUCUCUAAUGUCCUCUUUAUGUUUCUGGUUUGGGUAAAAAAUAAAGCUAAGUAAGCAAUAAAGCAGUUGCAUUCAUUGACUAGCCACAUUAGCUUAUUAAUUAUAAUGAUAUAUAUCAGCGCUAUGUUUGUCCAAAUAAUUUUCUUCUGGUAUUGAUUUCUCUGUAAUGAUUGAAAAAACCGAAAUUUACUUCUUUUUCUUGUUUAUAAAUGCUCCUCUUUUAAUGUUUUUCUGUUAUUCUACUGCUACAUUGUUACACUUUUUUUUGUAAUUUCUUCUACGAGUCUUUUUUAUUUUUUUCAUGUUCCUAUUGUUGGUUUUGGUACUUUUACUUAGUGUCAGUACUGUUGAUUUGUUUUAUGUUAUAAGAAAAUAUUUUGUUUUUUCUAUUUUUGUUGUAUAUAUGUGAUUGGUAAUCUGUUCUUACUAUGUUCGAAAGUUUCUUAUCAUUGUUAUAUAUAUUAUUUUGCAGAUAUAAUUAUUGUUGCAUGUAUAAGGGACAAGAUACUAGGAUUUGACAAAAAAUAUAUACAAUUGAUAAAACUUGAAACAAAUAUAUUUAGUCUAUUUUUUUAAGUCCUUGUAUUUCAUUUGAAGGACUAUUUAAUUAUCUUUUCAUAUUUUCAUAUGUGAAUUAGAAAUCAUUACAUAAUAGUGUAUUUGAAAUAUUUUAAUUUGAUAAUAUCUAUCCAAUUAAAAUAAGUUGAUAUUUUGUCUUUUUUUUAUAUUUUUAAUUUUAUUGUACUCAUAUUAUAAUAGAAUGCUCAAAUAAUUGUAGCUAUAGAUUAUAGAUAGUGUAGUAUGAGAAGAAUGUUGAAAUGCAUAGAAAUAAUAUUAGAGGCAACGCUGCCAGAUUGAUUCCAUAGUAAUAAUAGAAGAGGCAACACUUCUAAAGUGAUGCCAUAGUUGGUCAAAUAUGCAACACUCCCAAGGGUUGCUACAAUAAUAGAAUAGGCAAUAUUUUUUAUUAGUUGCAAAAUUAGUAGAAAAGAGAACACCUAAUAAGCGUUAUAUUAAAGUCUAUUCAUAAGCGUUGUCUUUGUUUUAGAAUAGGCAACGACCGUAUCUACAAGGCCCCUAAAAGUGUUGUCUUAUAUCCAAAAGUGUUGCUAUAGAUCAAAGGCAACUUUUUUUCAAUAUUAGGCAACACUUUUUAAAUAUUGUCUCAGAUGAAAAAUGUUGUAGUAAUUAUGUUAAUCGUGAGAAUAUCCUAUUGACAAAUAUACAGUAAUUAUAACUAUUAGAAAUUCUCAGAGUGAGUCAGUUUAAUUAUCAUAUCUCUAUAUGCACCACUUAUAUAUAUAAUUUAGUAAAUGAGAUCUAUUAAUCUUCAUCAAACAAAGACUAUAUAUUAAUCGACACGAAUCACUAAUGUUCUAAUUUUAGUGAUUUUAUAAUUAAGAAUAAUUUAAAUUAAAAGUACUAAAAAAUAUAUAUAUCUCAUUAUUAUGAUCCCUACCGUANNNNCCGUAAUUAUUUAUUUUUAAUUUUAAUUAAAGACACUAUAAUAAAUUGUAAAAAUUUAUUCUCCUAUAAAAUAAUAAUAAUUCAUGAUAAUAUUUUAUUAAAUUCACACUUAUCUCCAAUAACAGCCAAUAUUUUUGGAACAAAAUAUUUUCUUCUACCAAUUCUAGAUAAACUGGAUGACAACAAUUUUCUUAUAUGUGGAAAAUAUCUUUGCUAGGAAAAGAAUAAUCUAGUCUUUAAAGGACCAUGCAAAAAUAUUUCAAAUGAAUGGCUUACAUGGCAGCCAUACUGAACUUGUUGAAAAUACUAAUUUGGACUCAAAAUUAAAUAUUUGCAAACUGGCCCAACAUAGUCUGGUUGGACCAACCUUGUAAUGACUAGUUUUUUUUGGACAAAUUGAUGAACGAUUUUUUUUUUGUUUUUGGACUUUUCCAUAUGGACCACACCCACAACCCACCUAAAUACAAAGUCCAGGCUCAAUUACUAUCCACUAUCCAACAACGUUACCCAUGUCCUCUACAACUUUAUCUUCUACCUUCUCAUAUGCGUAAAUUCUAGGAAUGCUAAGACAAAAAAAAAUUCUAGAAAAGCUUCAAAGACAUAAAAAUAUUAAUAACAAAGGAGAUUGAUUUCAAAAAUUUAUAUUAUUUUGGCAGUUGUUGUAUGUAAAAUAUUACUGGAUCGUUGAUAAAUUAUUGUAAAUAAUUACAAAAGACAAAUAAUAAUUUUUCUUUUGGGUGAAAGAUAAUAAAUAUCAAUUUGUAUAAGGUUAGUAUGCGUUGAUACGUAUAAGUGUAUUUUUUAUUUGAAAAUUGAUGAAGUAAUUUUUGGAGAAGCUACCUAGGUAGUGACAAUUAUGAAAUAACAAAAAAAAAUGUUGUACUCUAAUUUUUAAAACUACAGUUAUUCAUAAUGGCUGAAGUAUCUAAUUUGAGUUUACACCUAAGUUAAUAAAUUUUUAAGUAAAGACAUCAUGUCACAGAAGAUUAUUAGUGGACAAAUCUAAUCAACUAAACAAAUACUAAUUACUGUAAUGAAAGAAGAUGGUUGAAGAUGGGCGUUUGUACGAGUAGGAAAUGUUGCAAGUAUUUUAGGCUGUAGUAAUAGGCAUGAAAAUUUCUAGUAGUGUUUAGCAAAAUAGAGUGUUUAGCAAGAAUGACCUGCCUACAUAUUUCAAAUGUUAUAAGUUUAAAUACCAAUCAUGAUCCACAAAAUGUAUGUAUAAUUAAUAAGAAAAGGAUAAAUGUUCAUGAGAUUCCAGAUUUGUAGCGGCAUCGGACCUGCAGGAUUGUAAUUGGUUCAAUUGAGAUGACCUUGAAGAUCCCAACAGCUUUGGACUUGAACUUGCACAUGCUAGUAAAGUCUGUCUAACCUCCAGAAAUUAUCCCGAAGCUACCGCUUUGUGUGCCACUAAAUCUGAUGUAGGUUGCUUCUACCUUAAUGUGGUCGUGGGCAAGGAUGAGUGGGUGCCACUCCUCAUGUUUAUAUGAAAUAGUAAAAAACCAUAAACUAAGUAGUUAUAUCAAACAUGCAAAGAAGAUAGUAAACGCAAAAUAGUGGAGGUUCGGUAGGUAUUUCACAAAUCGUGCCCCAUUCGGCUUUAUGAUAACAUAAAGGAAGGAAUACUAACAAUAAGAUAAAUUUGGGUUUUUCUUAUCCUUGGAAAAAAAUUCGAUGCAACAAGAACUAAGAUGCAAUGAAAAUUUUGUUUUUGUGAUGAAAAAACAAGUAACAUGUCCUAAAGGAGUUGGUGGUUGGCUAUAUUAGUUUAAAUGUCUGAUGAGACGGAUACGGUGACGAAAUCAAAACAACGAUUGAAAAGUAUUCGAAGAAGAAAAGCAGUGGGGAUUACCUUGUUAGUCUUCGUGGCCAUAGUUAGAGUGAGGAAAUUGAGUCAGGGAUUUUUUCAGGAGACGAGUUGGUAGUUGGAUGCAAAACGACGAAGUGAUCUGAGUAUUAUGGUCAGGAAAAUGAAGUCCACAAGUAAUUUCAGUUGGUAUAUAUGAAUGAUAUCUCCCUAAACCUCUUUUUUUCCCUCAUGGGUCAAGGAGGUACAAAAAAGACCUGAUCCGUCCACAAAUAUGAGCUUUUUUUUUGUAAGUAUUUUUUGUUGUUAUGCUUACAAGAGCAAGAGGUUUAAUAAUGGACAUGGGUAUAAUAAAAUAAACAUAAAUAAACUGAUAUCAUAUAACCAUGCAGGCAAACUCAACAAUUAUAUUGAAUUAGGGAAAGUAUAAGGUAUAGUGUGAAUAAUUCAACCAUCAAUAAAAACAAGCAAAUUCAUAACCAUUAAGAAGGAAGAUUGAAUUAGUGAGAGGGUGAGCUUCUUGUAGCAGAGAAGAGGGAUAAUUGAAAUAACAAUCAAUGAAACCAUGCUAACUGCCCCUUUCUCUAUUCCUCUAUUAUAAACAUACCAAAUAUAGUUAUAGUUUAACAAAUUUCAACAAAUCCAAAUUAAUAUACUCACUAGCAAGAACAAUCUCAACAGCAAGAAUCACAAUAACAAUAAUUUAAUGAAUUAACAAGAGCAAGAUUGGAAUAAAAAAAACCAACAACCUAAUAACAAAAAACAAAAGCAAUUUAUAUCCCAAGAAUCACAAUAACAAUUAAAAAAAUCAACGAAUUAACAAUUUACAAAAAAACACAGCAACCCAAUAAUCUGAAGAACAAUAAUAGGUAUAUCAAACAAACAACAACAAAACUUGAAUAGAAAAAUCCAACAAAUUAAAUCACAGCAACCUAACAAUUUAGCAAAUUAAGACAACAGCAGCCCAAUAAUUUAGCAAAUUAUCAACCUAACAAGUUCAAGAACAAAAAAUCACAAUAAAACCAAAAAUAUUAAAGACAACAGAGCAACAACAUAACAGAAGUAAAAAGGUGAAGCAUAUGAAUCUUCUAAAUUGAAAUAGUUAUAUGAUGAAGGUAUAGACAUAGGGUUCCUGGAGAAGAGGUGGCUGGACCGUUGCGGAACUGGAGAAGGAGUGGUUGGACCAUCGCAGAGCGGGAGAAGGGGUGGCUGGACCGUCGCGUAACUAGAGCCGUGGAUGGUGGAACGCGGCGGAACUGGAACAGAGGAGGGUGGAGCGCGGCAGAACUGGAGCAGAGGAGGGCUGGAGCGGGGUGGACCAGAACCGACGCGGCGGAACAACAGCUGCUCCACGGAGAAACGACACGAGACGAGUUGAAGUGGGACGGCGGCUUCGAGCAUAUGCGAUGCAAUGCGACAUGAUGGUUGAGACGAGCAGAGACGAUCCUAAAGUAGUGGGCGACGACUAGACCAGAUUUGACAGCGGCGGUAGGACGGCGGUGGUGAUAGCUUGAAGAAGAGAGUAGCGAUGGAGGCUAGGGUUUUUUCUUUUGAGAGAGGGAUGCAGAUGGAAGAUGAGUGGGAGACAGAAAGGGAGACGGUGACUCGGUAGGCUCUUUUUAUUUUUUUUCAAUUUUCUUUUUUUUUUAAUUUAAAAUUCAAAACGGUGAGUUGAAAAGUGAAAACUGGUCGGGUCCCGGUUCGGUCCGAUUGACCGGUUCCUGGCCGGUCCGACAGUUCAAUUUCGAUUUUUAAAGUAAGCGGUUAUGAUAUUUGUUCGAAUCGUUUUUCUUGUCGAUUCACGGUUCGACCGGUUCAACCAGCCAGUUUGAACCGGUUUUCAGAACCUUACAAGUAGUAAUUAACUAACAAGAUUUGAAAACAAAAUAAAAGAUUUGAUUUUGAAAUUAAAAAGAAAAAAUUUAAAAGAAGAUUUUGAAAUUUAAAAAUUGAAAGAUAGAGUCAAACAAGGAAAGAUAAGGUUUGAAAAAGAUUUAAGGUUAAGUUUUGAAAUUUGAAUUUUAAAUUUCGAAUUUUAAAAUUGAAUUUUAAAAUUUGAAUAAGAUAAGAUAUGAUUUUUGAAAUUUAAAGAAAGAUAAAAAGGAAGAAAAGAUAAAGAGUUGAAAAAGAUUUGAAAAGAUAAGAUUUGAAAUUCAAAAUUUAAACUUUACUAACAAGAAAACACCAAACUUAAAAUUUUUAAAUCAAGAUAAGAAAAGAUAGCAAGAUUUUCGAAAAUUUAAACAAAGAUAAAAGAAUUUUUUUUUAUUUUCGAAUUUUAAAGAAAGAGAAGAACAACUAAGAGACACCAAACUUAAAAAUUUAAGAUCAAAUAACACUAAUUUUCAAAAAUUAAAGGAAAAACAACUAAAAGAUACCAAACUUAAAAUUUUUAAAAUCAAACAAGAAAAAUUAUCAAGAACAAUUCGAAUAUUAAAAAGAACACUCAAGAACAGUUUUCAAAAAUUUAAAGAAAAAUAUGAAAACAGACGGGACACCAAAUUUAAAAACUGACACAAGACUCAACAAAAGUCAAAGAUUACUAAAGAAAAUAAAAGGUUUUGAAAAAUUUUUGAAAAAGAAAACAAAAGACAUAAGCAAAAGGGCAAAUAAACCUUAAAGAAUACCUAAUCUGAGCAACAAGAUAGUCCGGUAGUUUAUCAAUCUCGAACAAUCCUCGGCAACGGCGCCAAAAAUUUGGUGUACGAAAUUGAACUCCGCACAACUGAACCGGCAAGUGCACCAGAUCGUCCAAGUAAUACCUCAGGUGAGUGAGGGUCGAAUCCCACAGAGAUUGUCGGAUUGAGCAAGAAAUGGCUAUCUUGUAAAUCUUAGUCAGGCGAUUAGAAAAGAUGGUUGUUUGUUUGAAAGCAUAAACGAAAUAAUAAAUACGAAAUACCAGAUUGAUGUGAAAACAGUGUUAGAGAUCCAGUUAAGGCUCCGGAGAUGCAUAUUCUUUCCGGAUUAACUUUUCUUACUGUCUACUUCAAUAACGAAUGAUUCAUUCAAUGGCAGCCAUAAGUGACUAACUCAUGUCCUCUCAUCAAGUUAAUAUCUUCUAAACCACAGCAAUCCACCAUAUCCGAGCAACUCAUGUCCUCUCAUCAAGUUGACUUAUGGCUUCGCACUGCAGCCGAAGAUGAAGCUCUAAGCAAUCCACUCCCCUUCGUGAUCCUACUCAAAAUGCCACAGAUAAGGUCGGAUCUUCUGGAUUAGAGAGUGCUGCUUCUCUUACUCUAGCCUUAGCGCCACAGAGACCUCAGUAACCCACGGUCAAUGGUAUUUCAUGUCACGUAUCCAAAGUUGCCCAGGCACGCUCUUGAAAUCCGUAAUGCAUUCUCGAGCUUUAAUUCAAUACUAUCCGGGUCUGGACUCGCACGGAACCCAUGUAGAACAAGGAUGAAUGUCACGGUUCACCCUCAAUUCAUUGAGAUUGAAGAAUGAGAACUCCUAAGAGAAUAGAAUUAGACAUAUUGAAAUAGAAACAAUAGUAUUAUUAAUACAUGAGAAUCAGUAGAGCUCCUAACCCUAACUUAGGAGGUUUAGUUGCUCAUAGCUUACAGAAGGAUAGUGUGUAAUUCAAAAAUAGGGUGGAAGAAGAUCCUAAUAGGGUUGAUCUUCUCCUUUAAAUACUAAUCUAAUAACUAGAGAUUACAGAAAUAGGAUAGACUGGACUUUUAAUGCGAAAAUCUACUUCUUGGGCCUACUUGGUGAGUGUUUGGGCUGAGGUUGGGGUGACUCCACGUGCUGGGACCCCUCUUGGGGCGUUGGACGCCAGGCUUUCUACCUUUUGGGCGUCAAAAUGCCAGCUUGCUCCCUUUGGGGCGUUGAAACGCCAGGCAGGGGGUCAGAUGUGCGUUCAACGCCCAUUUUGGGCCAUCAUUUCCAAAGAUAAGUAUAGACUAUUAUACAUUUUUUAAAAGCCCUUGAUGUUAACUUUCCAAUGUCGUUGAAAGUGCAUCACUUGGAUCUCUUUAGCUCCAUAUAUCCUCAUUUGAAUGCAUGAAGGUCAGAAUCUGACACCAUCUGCAGUCCUUUCUCUGUCUCUGAAUUAGGUUUUUUUUCAAAACUUGCCAGAAUCACCCAAAAAUCACCUAAACACAUAAGAAAAAUACAAAAACCUAUUAAAAAUUGAUAAAACUUAACAAAACAUAACCAAAAAUACUAAGAAAACAAUACUGAAAAGUGUAUAAAAUAUCCGCUCAUCAUUAUCUUCUUCCUCCUUCCAGGCAAGAGUUUUGGACAAGAUUUUUGCAACCACGUUCCCAGAGAUGGACAUCUUAAGAAAUCAUCCACCUCUAUUUGAGUGGAAUCUAGAAUUUGUCCUGGGUGUUCCGAAUUAGAACAACUAAUAAAUAUUUAUGUGAACCUGUAAACCCUAAGUGGUUAUGUGUCUUCGAGUAUUGCCAACUCGUUUCUCUUUUUGUUUCUGUGGGUGUAACAUGACAUUGCUACAAAGACAAGUCGUGGAUGAUGCUGUGGCUUCAGAUGGAGCAAAUGUUCACUACCAACCCUGCUGGCCAGAAGAAGGUAGUUUCUAGCUUUUGAUUCGCUAUAUGCUACUUAAAACUCUGUCUGUUGUGUAAAGAUUUCUGAUGAUCUCCAUGAAUGCAUAUUUUUUCAUGUUGAAGAGCAUAGACCAAUUAUCGGACAAGAUACGAAUUGACACUGCAAUAGGCAUAGUUAAUGAGCACUUCAAUGAGCCGAGGGAUGAAAUUAGGCAGUGGGCUGAGGUGGAUUAGAAGAGUUGUAAGGCCAUGGCAGCCCUUUUCCUAUGACCAUGUGAAUCAGAACGAUCAAGAGGCUUUCCUUCCAAGUUAACCAACUUAAAUAAUUCCCCUGUUACUCAUGUUUUAUUUAUGGUUUAGGGUAUAUAUCCCCCAUGUGCCAUUUGUUUUGAAUACUUUGGGCUCUUUAUAUCCCCUUUUGUCAAAGCUAGGGUCAGCCAUCACUUUGAAGUGGUGCCGAAUUGUCAUUAAACAAGACUCCACUUCGAUGUUGAGGCUACCCGACUAUGCAUUUUUAAACUUAUUCGGACAUGUACAUCCGAAGUAAUGCAACUUGAUGGGCAUUUCUUAAAUAUUUUGUGCCGCAUGCAAGGAAACAUCGUAUUCAUAUCUACUAAGGUUGACCCUAUAACAUUAAUGUUAACGUACAUGCAUAAUAUAGCGGUGCUUUCCUUUUUUCUAUAAGUGUGGCGACGAAUUCUGAUGUCGAAUGUGUAACCCCAAAUUCAUCUUCUUCUGUUAUAAACACGAUUCACGCAUGCAAGGAAACCUUAUAGCCCUAGCAAUUAUGUUCAUACUAACGUGAGGGGAACAGAAUAAACUGGUUCCACUAAUGAUAACGAUAACAUAAAGUUAAGCCACCUCCUAACACAAAGAAAGGGGUCACGAGUUUCUAGGCCAAAAUCCUACAAUUGACACCCACACUAACUGUUGCAUCACAGUUUCACCUCGUUUAGGAAGACCUUUGGUAUGUUUUAUCUAAGCUAAAGCUUCAAUAAACCACAACAAUGCCAUCCUCUUCAAACCAAACUACAAAGUACGAAACAGAACACAUACAAUAAAAACGUAAAACCUAAAUUGUAACUGAAUCUUCUACCACACAGGAGAAAGAUACAAACCAAAGACUUCCACACAAGCAACACUAACUCCAACUUUCAACAGCUUGUCCUAGCUUAGUAUGCACGCCAUUCGGGACAUAUUGGACAAUAAAAGUAUUAUACAAAAAUAUCGCUACAUAAUUUAUAUUGCUAGAGAAACUAUUAGAUUUACAAACAUUGUUACAUCAUUACAAAACAUCACAAAAUAAUUGAACGAAAUCACAUAGGGCACAACAGCCAACACUGCAUUACCAUUUAACUCAUUUUUUAUCUACAUCAAGUUUUUCACUAUUCUACAACAACUCCUACUAUUCUACGGCAACCCGUCCUAGACCCUAAACCUACACAGAUCAGACACAUACAGCACAAGUUGACCCCCCCACCACAAGUUAACAUAGUAGUUGCAUUACCCACACAGUUUCUAUUACCGUUCAACCGAAUUAAAAAGAUCUUCAUAGAUUAUAACUUAUGCAUAUAUCCAUCCAAAUGUCAUUACCACAUGUGGAUUACCUAAAAACAUAAACAAUUAUCCCUAAAGAUGAAUUACCUCCACGAAGAUUAGUUCAAGAAACUCCCUCUACAUCGAAGUAGUCGUCACAUUCCUCUCCUCUUACCAUGUUUUCAUAAGCUGCCGCUGCCUCACAACUAUCGAUGUUCUCCCCCAGUUGUGAUUCAUGAAAAUUUUGAGUAUUGUGUCCAGACUUUCCACACAGUUGGCACUUCUGAACACGGUGGAACUUACCCGUAGUCGUGACAACUCUUCGUCUGCAUCCUUUGUACCUUGCUCGCAACGGGUCUCAAAUAAAAAUCCUACUAACUUCUUUAGCAACGCCUAGCCUUUGGUAAUGUUUCUCUCGCAGGGAUAGGCACUCCUUGGCCAAUCUUGUUUUCACGUCGAAGUAGUCGUCAAAGAACCGACAGGAUAGGUUCACCAAUUCCCUACAAUCCUCCAAGAUUGCCGUGUGCAUGCUCAUGUAUGUUGCGUCUGGAAUCUCCCCAACACAUAUUCUGUUGCUGGUCAUACUCGGUUGCUUUGCCCUCUUUGUUUGAUGUUGAUUGGGUUGUUUCUUGAUUGAAUUUUAUCAAUGCACUUAUGCUUUGCCUUAAAUUACUAGCACCUAAUUGGACUUGCACAUUUACAUUUUGUUUCAUAUUAGGUAAAAUUUUUAUAAGUGCACAUUGGAUUAAGUGAAUUGAGUUGAAAUUACUUGUUCAUUAUGAUUUUCAUAUCAAAUUCGGCACAUAACAAGAUACUUGUUUGUUUUUAAUGCUUUGCAUUUAUUUGAGUGACUUGACUUGAUUCUUAUCAAGCUUAUCACUUUUUGCAAUAAAUACCUUUACCAUGUGACUAUUUCAUUAUGUUUCAAGAUGAAUAAGUAGUCUUCUUCUUAUUGGAUUGGUUAUUGCUUAUUGUGCUUCCGUAUCAACCUUGCGCUUUCACUUGCACAACUUCAAUAUCCAAUAUCUCAAUUACUCAAUUCACUUUUGUGGUUAUCUAGGGUUGCUUAUGCCUUAAGUUUUGCUUAUUCUUUACUUGCAACUUAGGCUACUUAAUUGAGGAAUAUAUGCUAUUUCUUUUGAUAGUGUGGAUACUGUUUACCCGGCCAAUGUAUGUGUUCUAACCCGUGCGCACAUUUAGAAUACACACAUUGUCUUUUAUCAUACCAUACACAUAUGAACUCUUCCUCAAUUGUUGUUUAUUUGUUUAUACAGUAACCCAGAGCCCUGAUGCCCACCAGUUGAAAGUGGAGGAACUUGGAGCCUCACUUCUCUUCCCCCCGGAUUGUGUGCAUGCACGGAGGACCGUGCAACGUUUAAGUGUGGGGGAGGAUCCGUAAUUUUCGGGGCGUAAAUUUCUCUUUCUCAAUACUUUACAUUAUUUUCUAGUUUUUAGUAGUUAUACUUUCUUGUGAAUAUUUGUUGAUAUUUCAUUACAUUGAAUUUUACUUAGUUUGCUUGUAUAUAUCUUAGCUUGCUUAUGGUUUUAUUGUAGUAAAUAUUUGCAUUUGCAUUUUCCCAGUAUAGGAAAAGCAUCUAUUUUGGAUUGAUUGGAAUUCUCUUGUGUGUUUUUGUCAAACUCCAUAGGGAACCAUAGUAUAGAUAUAGAUAGAUAGUAUUUAGCAUAGUUGCAUGUAUGUAAGUAUUUGCAUUGAAUAAGUUGCUUGUCCUUUUACCCUUCUCCUUUGAUUGUAUUAAGUGUAGGAAAAUUGAUGAAUCCAUAUUUGACAAUAAAUUUUGGUUUGAUUUGAGUGGAUUUCAUCACAUAAACUCACACUUAAUCGCUAAAAUAGCAUACUUUUAUGUUUUCUCUCUAAAUUGUGCCUAAUUGUGAAAACAUGCUAUUUUGUACUUAAUUUGAUCAAUUUUAUCCCACUUUCAUUCCAUUUGAUGCCUUGAUGGUUUUGAUGAGUGAUUUUAAGUGCAAUAGGUUGGACUGGCUUGAUAAGAGUGGAAGAGAAGCAUGCAUUUGGGAGAGAAUAUGAAGAAAUCAAAGAAGAAGCACACAGCCAUGUGUGCGUACGCACAACAUCCAGUGCAUAUGUACAAAAAGGAAAUCAGCAUGCAUUCAUACGCACAACACUCUGUGCGCAUGCACAAGUGGAAAAUUUGGCAAAGUGUGCGUACUGUGCGUACGCACAAGUACCAGCACGUGACUUCAUUAAAAAGUCAUGUAGCUCGCAUUUUGGGAGGCUUUUUGGCCCAUUUCUGAUCACUUGGAGUAUAUAAGGAGGCUAACAACACAACAUACUCAUACCAUACUUCAUACAACACAUUUUAAGAGUAGUUUUAGGGUAGUUUAGUUUAGGUUUUUCUCUCAAUUUUCCUUAGGUUUAAUUAGGGUUUGUAGUAUUUUAUAGUUUAAUUUUUGGUCUUGGAUUUUGCUAUCUCAUUGUAAGUAUUCCUUGAUUUUUCCUUUUAUCACAUUACUUGUUCUACAAUUUCAAAUAUUUUAAUUUCUUUUGUCAAUAUAUAUAGUUUUGCAAUUUUGAGUUCUAGUUCAUGAAUUUGAUGUUUGAUGGUUAUUUUAUGUUUGUUGAGUUGUCUUUGUUGAUUGUGAUCAUUUGUGGUUUAUAGUUUUCAUCAUUUUUCCAAUUUUACCAUGUUUUAUUAUUAUGCCCACUAUGUGUUUGAUAAAAUGCCAAUUUUGAUUAUGGGGUAAAUUUCCACCCCUUGGCUUGGGGAAAUGAAAUUAUGGAAUACUAGAGUCAUAAUGUCCAAUAUUUAGUGAUAAUUCUUGGGUUGUUAGUUGUUAUUGUUUCCACUAACGCUAGCUUCUUACUAAGGUAAUUAGUAAGUUAGCUAGGAUUUGUGGAUUUAUAACAAUUAUGCUCACUUGACCUAUCCUUCGAUGUUAAGGGUUGACCUAGUGAGAUUAAUCCAUCAUAAUUAUCAUAGUUGUGGUUAUGGCAAGGAAGGAAUUCCAUAACUCAUCCCAAGUCAAGGUUCUGUUUAUGUUUUGAACUACAUUUCCAUCAAUUUUGAGUCUUACUUGUCUAUAUUACAUACAUAGUUCUUUUGUUCCUUUAUUUGUUUAUUAAUUACAAUUUUGAAUCGUUCUUUUAUCUCUUUAUUUGUUUGCUUCCUGGUUAUUGAAAACCCUCUUGAUCAUCGCAACCAAAAUUGUGCGCUCUUAGGCAUUAGUUCCUAGGGAAGACGACCCGAGGUUUAAUUACUCUCGGUUAUUUUAAUUUGAAAAAUAAACUUUGAUGUUUGGGAUUGAAUUGCCGGUUUGGACUAUGCUAUCAACGAAAUACUUAAUUUCAAUUGAGAAAUUCUAAACCGGUGCAAAUCCUUCAUCAUCAAGUUUUUGGCGCCGUUGCCGGGGAACUAGUGCAAUGAGUGCUAUAGUUUUAGUUGUUGUGAAUAUGUGAAUAGUGUGAAUAGAUACUUUUUGGGUUGUUUGAUUGUUUUUGCUAUUAAUUAGGAUUUUAUUUCUUUUGUUAAUUGAUGUCUUUAGUUUUUAUUUUCUAUUUUCUCUAUGAGUUAUCACCCUCUUGGUUUGGAGUUUGGUUGUGAUCAUUUUGUAGGACUUGAUAACUUCAAUUUUGGAUUGCAUCAUGGAAUUGGAGAAUCAAUUUUGGAAGGAGCAACCUCCUCUAUACUACAAUGAGCAAAACCCUCCCCAAUAUGCAUACCCAAACCAAGGAUAUGGUGGAUUUCACUUUGAUUAUGCACCUCCACCACCAUAUACCUAUGACCCAUACCCCCAACAUAAUCCUCAAUCACCACAUUUUCAAAUACCAAACCACUACUACCAUCCACCUUCUUACAUACCACCUCAAAACACUUACCAACAUGAGUCACCUCCCACACAUACAACCUUCCUCCCAAACAAUGGACCUCUUUCUUCACCCCAAUAUGAAGUUUUUCCACCCUUGACCCGAGACCAUCAAGACCUUCAAGUUUUUCUCCAAGAGCAAGAAGGAUUCCGAAGAACACAAGGGCAAUUCAUAGCUACCAUAGCCGAAACGGUUAAUCACUUGGUCCUACUACGCUCAUCCGAUCAAGGCAUUCUUCUUGAGAAAUAUGGAGGGUCAACUAAAGAUUGGAGUAAAAAGGAGAAUGUGGAGCCUCAAGGGAAAGAAGAAGAUUUAGAUGCAACAAGAGGGAGAAAGUGAAGUAUGUGAACCGAAGAAGAGAAAGGGAGAAUUGAGGGAGAUUGAUCAAGAUGAGGAUUCCAUCAUUGAUGAUUUUUUGUCCUCCUUGGUCAAUCCCCGUAAUGACCUUAAUGAGCCUCUUCCCAUUGAAUUUGAGAAAGAUAUGGAGGUAGACUUCUCACAACCUCCUUGUUAUGACUUAAGUGAUGGGGAAGAGGAAGUUGGUGAGAAAGUAAUUUCGUUCCAAGAACGUAUUGAGUGGGUGGCAAUUUCACCUAUGAACUUCAUUGGCCCCAUCAAUAUGCUAUCUUGGAGAUGGAUUACCAACUCAAAAUCCUUCUUGGGUUGUUGCAUGGUGGAGGAAAGGGUGUUGGUUGCCAAGUGAAUCCAAGGGACUUCAAGAGAACCAAAUCUAGAAUUGGAGCUCAAGUGGGAUGCAAGGCACAAUGGAGUAAUUUCUGAAGAGUGUUGGGGUACUUCACGGGUCAUUUGAGAGCUUGUCCAUCCGGCUUGGAGCAUAGAAAUCCACAAGAAGGAGAAUGAGAAACUAGAAUAUGGGAUCCCGGAGGAGCUUUGAAGUGCAAGCUUGGAUAGAGAUUCAAGGAGGAGUGGAAACACAAGCCACCCUAGCAAGAGUCUCCUCAACAAGUCCAACUUAGGGACUAUAAACCAAAGUGCUAGGUGGGAGACACCCCACCAUAGUAACAUCUUUCUUACCCUUUCUCUUUAUUUAUAGUCUUGUUUCAUUGCAUUUUGCUUCUUUUAGCUAGCUUAGAAUUAGUUUAAUUUUGAGCUUAGAUAUGUUAAUUUCUAUAUGGAUCAUGAAUUUAUGGGUUUUUGAAUGUUUUGGAGUUGAAAUUUUGAUUGAGCUAAGGUGCAAUGUCUUAAAUUUGAAGAAACUUUUUUGGGAAAAACAGGGCAUGUGCGUGCACACACCAUUGUGCGCGCGCACACAAUCGGUAAAUUUUGCGCCCUGUGCGUACGCACCACCCUGUGCGUAUGCACACCAGCCUCUAUGCCCUCUGUUGGGAGCGCUUGCACGCCUUGUGCGUGCGCAUUCCCCUGUUUUCUUGCGCUUUGUGCGUGCGCAUGCCAUUGUGCGUAUGCACGCAACCUUCUUUUUGCGCACUUUAUGCGUACGCACCACAUUGUGCGUACGCACACCAGCUUGCACCCAUUCUGUUGGGAGCGCUGGUAUUGCCUAUGCGCAUGAACCCCUCCAAAUUCUUGUUCCUGUGCGUGCGCACGCACACAUGAUCCUUCCCCAAGUAAAAAAAAAAGUCCUCUGUGCGUGUGCACACUUCGCAAUUCCUUCUCUGGUCAGAGCAUUCGCACAUAUCUGUGCAGACGCAUACCUUCCAUUUUCCACCUCGUGUGCGUACACACACAUACCUGUGCGUACGCACAAGUGCUGUUUUGGGCAACAUUUUCAUUAUGUAACACCCCAAUUACCCUAAGCCUUACCUCUAGCCGUAAAGCAAAGGUUAAUCAGAGGUUACGACAGUCCUAAGGCUUAUACAUAUUUAUAUAUAAAAGAAAAUAAUAUAAUCUAGAAGCCUGAUGAAGGAUAUAGCUCAAAUACAGAGUUACAAAAGCGCGAAACAUUCACACGCAGCUAACGCAUAAAAUACAAGAUAUAGAAGCAAAAGAAUGAAAUAUAUAUAGAUAUAAUAUUAUAAUAAAUCAUAGAGAACUAGCCGCAACUUGCAGAGUUUAAGCCGAUUAGUUAUAAAUAGAAAGAUACAGAGUUUUAGAAUCAAAACAGCUUAUACAACCUAUCUCUCAAAUAAACCUCUAAGGCCACAAAGAUAAAACACAACAAGAUGUGAGAGUAACUAUAACAAAGUAAAAUAAAUUAAACCAACGAGGAACCAUACUCCGCUCUGUCACCAUAUCCGCAAUCUCACCGAAGUAGAUUACGACCUGCAUCUGAAAAAUAACAACAAAGUAUGGAAUGAAAACCGGAGGUUCUCAGUAUGGUAACAAUGCCAAAAAUGUAAGAUGUAAGGCUCCGGGACGCCGAAGGCAAUCCUAUAACUUCACAUCAAACCGAUAUUCAAGCUUAGAACAAAAAAAUAUAAAUAAAGAACUUAAACCGUAAACCGGGUUAUCUAAACUUAGUGGAAUUCUAACUAAACUAGUCACACCGCUGUAUCCCACAGCCCUCGCCAACCAAACCUCCGUGCGAUCCCAUCGCCACCGCCUACCUAACCUCCUCAGGACCAAACAAACACAAAUAAUACAAGCAAGAAAAGCACAGGUAGAAUUCAUACAUGUAACAAGUAAGUCAAGAAGCAAGUAGGCAUAUUAUACAAUUAGGCAAACUCAAGUAAUCAAAGCAAGCAAGCAUAUAGAAGAUGCAUAUGAUGAAUGCCUGUCCUAUUGGCUCUUGAUAUCACUUGUCGGUCCAUAAAUGCCAACCCGACACAUCCUCCCGAAUGUAGCCUUUUCUGCCACGCCAGGGAUAUAGUGCCCUGCACACUCCUUUAGCAGCUCUUCUGCUACGCCAGGGGUAUAGUGCCCUACAAACUCAUGUAGUAGGGAGUCUACUACGCCAGGGAUAUAGGCCUCGUACACUUCAUGCAGUAGAGAAGGAAAUAACCAUAGCAAAUCAUGCAACAGAACAAUCUGUCACGCCGGGGAUAUAGGCCCCGCACACUCCUCAACAUUCAACAAGUCAUGCAACAGAAACAUCUGCCACACCGGAGAUAUAGGCUCCGCACACUCUCAACAACAACUAGUCGUGCAGCAGAACAAUCUGCCACACCGGAGAUAUAGGCCCCGCACACUAUCAAUAAUCCAAUAACUUCAUCCUCAAAUCAUCACCAGACAUCACCAUUUCUCAUUUCAAAUCACUUUCAACAACAUCUACUCAUGCAGUAGAGAAACCUGCUACGCCAGGGUUAUAGGCCCUGCACACUUUCCUUCCAUAUCCAUCAUCAGUUCUUAAUUCUAUUCCGAACUCAUUAGUUCCUCAUUUCUCAAUUCCAGUACCAUUCUCCUUUCUCACUCCACCAAGCCCAUCCUCAGUACACCAGAAACCUAAACCUCUGUUUGUUAACUUUUCAAAAUAAUCAUCAACUAAAACCCUUAGCUUAAUUCCCAUGUUCUAAUACUCAAAACUAGGCCCAAGAGUCUUAAAAUAGUGUUAUAGAAGCUUACAACCUUGUUGGAAAGGUAGAAUAGUUGAAAAACAAGUAAAAUUUGAGAAACAGGGCGUGUGCGUCCGCACAGGGGUGUGCGUGUGCACGCCCAGGAAAUUUUUAAAAGUGUGCGUACGCACAGGAGUGUGCGUACGCACAGGUGUCAAAACUCAAAAUGGUCUGUUCACUCGCACAACCUGUGACAGCGCCCCCAACAAACUGGCCUCCCCAACGUGUGCGUGCACACAGGUCUGUGCAUAUGCACAGGUUACAAUUUCCCAUUGGUGUGCGUGCACACAAGCUGUGCCAGCGCUGCAAGCAGAGUGCCUGCCUCUGCUUGUGUGGAUGCACAGGUCACAAUUUUCGCAGAGUGUGCGUGCGCACAUACCAGAAAACUCAUAAUUCUGUAACUUUGCAGAAUUUUCAAAUUUUCAACACCAGCUUUGAAUGAUCAUAAGUUCUUCUACAAAAUUCCAAAUUUUGCAAACUUUAUAUUGAUUGAAAGGGGUUUUUAAAGAUCUUUGAUUCUAAACAAAUUUCAACCAAUUUUGAAAACCGAGGCAAAAGUUAUGAUCAGACAAAGUUCACCAAAAAUCUAUUUUUACCCAAAAACCUCAUAACAUCAAGUUAACUAACUUUCAAACCAAAACCAAUCUAAAUCAUCCCAAACAAUAUCAAAACAUCCUAAAAAUCCCUACCUCUCAUUCUUCAAGCUCAGCCAUCAAUAAUCUCCCCUUUACACUAGUCUAUACCAUCAAAAUCAUUAUCCUCCAACAAACCAAAAAUCAUCACAAACAAUCCUAAUAUUCACAUCCAACAAUUAAUAUCAAAUUUAUCAACUUUGUCAAAUUACCAACAACAUCAAUAUUCUUUAUCAAUCACCAACCAUAUCAACAAGCCCUUACCAACAUAAUAAAUCACAAAUUCAUCAACAACCUUCACAAUCAUUAAAUUUCAACAAUCAUCAUUAAAUCAUACUUAUCAUAAUCAUUAUUAUUCUAAUUCCUUCCACACCACACCAAUACAACAUCUAUCAAUUCCCAUCAACAACACCAAUCCUCACUCUAUCAUCAAAUUCAAUAUCCAUCUCCAACAACAUACUACCAACAUCAAUAUAACCAUUUAUCAAUCAUUUCAAAUCAUCAAUUACCAUGCAACACUUCCAUCAACAUAACCAAAGUUUAUCAAAUCAUCAUAAAUCAUCAUAUCUCAACAUUCAACAACUCAACAUCUAUUUUAAUUCAAACCUAUCUUAUGGGUCUCUAGUCUAAGUUUCCAGAAAUAUUACAUAUUAUAUAAAAAAAAUCGAAACCAUACCUUGGCCGAUUCCCAAAUACACCAAACACCAAAACGAAGCCACCAAACUUGAUCCAAGGCCUCAACCAACUCCAACAAACACCAAAGCUCAAACUAACAACAUAUAUAUAUACCAACAUCAAAACCUAAGAUACACAAAGCAACUAAACACAAGGGUUUAGUGAAACCUUACCUUAUCCAACGAGAUUAGGGGUAAAAUCCAAUAUUUAUCCGCUACUAGAGAUCACCUAAACAAGCAAAACCACAAAACUUGCUGAAGAACUAAACCCAAAACGUGCAGAAACUUAGGGCAGAAAACUAGGAAUUAGAAGGAGAUUCUUUACCAGUUUUUUAGAUAGAAUGGAAGAGCUCGUCAAGAGCUUCACGUGGCCACAAACUGCUCGUCAAUCGGAGGUCCGUAGCUCAAGUUAUGGCCCCCGGACGGUGGAGGUGAAUAGUAAUACCACCCCUUUCUCCCCUCUUCUCUAAAUCCGUGGCCCUCUCUCUCUUUUCCCAACAAAAUGAGUUUAAAACUCAUUAAACACACACACACACACAGCUCGAUGAGAGCUUUGCAUGGCCGAAACGGCUCGUCAAUCGGAGCUCCGUAGCUUAAGUUAUGGCUCCCGGAAGGUGAUGAUAAAUAGUGUCACCAAACCCUCACCUCUCUUCUCUCUCAAUCCGCGUGACUCUUUUUGUCAAGGGUGAAAAUGAGCUGAGUUGCUCAUUAAUUCACUUAUAUAUGUUGGGCCUUGGGUCCGGUUUUGGCCCGGUCCAAUCCAUUAGCGUUUUUAGUCUAUUUGGCCCAUUUUGGGCCAAAACCUUUAAGAUUAGCGCCCGGUUUUCAAUUAUAAAUUAUUUUUAUCCUUUCAAAACAAUAAAUCAAUUUUUUCAAAAUAUUAUUUUUUUCAAAACACAGUACCGGACAGGCUUAAACCGGUUCGACCGGUUCGGCUGCCGGUUCUCGGUCUUUCGCAGAAAAUAUAUUUUUCGACUCAGAAAAAUUCAUUGAAACCAAAUUUCACCUUUUUACUUUCAAAUUAAAACUUCUAAAUUUUGAAUCCAUCUCGGGCACUUAAAAUUAUUACUUUUAUUAAAACGGUUUUGCGUGGAAAACCCGGUUCUUACAUCCUCCCCUCCUUAAAAGAUUUUUGCCCUCGAAAAUCGAAUCACGCGAUAUAUCCUCCUCGAAACGCCCUACUGUGCCGAUGUCCCUUUUCGCCUUCCGCUGCGUCACUCUGAUUAUCGUCAUUAAGAAUCCGAAAUUUUUCCUUAAAACAAAUACAGAUUUUUGUAACAUUCUUCCAAAACCUUCAAAACAAGUUCAAUAUCAAACCUUUUUCAAAAGACUUAAAAUCAUUUAUUCUUAAAUCAAAACCUUGCAAAUUGAAUCCUUUUUGUUAAGUUAAGAUUGAAACCAAAUUCACAAUUUAGCAAAACCAUGGAUUUUACCUUCCUUCUAAAUCAUAAUUUCAAGUUGAAUCCCUUUUUGAUAAGAUAAAUCAUAAACCAAAAUCACAAUUCAAGAAAAUCCUAAAACUCACUUUUUCUGUAAACCAUAUUAUUCAGACCAAGAGUUUUGACUUAGUUUCAAAAGCAAAAUAUUUAAACCAAAAGUUUCAAACCAAAUUUGAAAAUCAUGUCAACCUUUAAAACCCUUUUCAACAUGGUUCAAGACAAUAUCAGUUAGAAAUUGAAAAUCAUAAGUAAAAAUCGUAAAAGAAACAGUCGGCACUUCUCUUGCCACCAGUGUUGAGCCGCACCCGUCAACUGAUAAGUCACAACCCCACGAACUGGUUUUCCGAAACAUGUUGAGCUCGUAACGCAUAGGGUAGGUUAGCCAUCCUCACUACCUUUCCGUUAACGUGAUCGACCUCAUUCGUGAGUUGCCAUUCGGGUUUCCUUUCCACACCAAACAGUCGAUAUCAAGGUGAUCACUCUCAAUAUCGAAAGUCUAAUGCUUCAAUUAUCCCAAAAAGGCACUCACAAAUAAGCAUGCUAUGCAAUAUCAAGGAGAUAACCUAAAUAGCAUGAAAGAAAACGACACACAGAGUAUGCAAUGAAGCACAAUCGGUUCAUCCCUCAGGCUCACGAGGACGAACCGCUCUGAUACCACUAAAUGUAACACCCCAAUUACCCUAAACCUUAGCUCUAGCCAUAAAGCAAAGGUUAAUCAGAGGUUACGACAGUCCUAAGGCUUAUACAUAUUUAUAUAUAGAAGGAAAUAAUAUAAUAUAGAAGCCUGAUGAAGGAUAUAGCUCAAAGACAGAGUUACAAAAGCGCGAAACGUUCACACAAAGCUAACGCAUAAAAUACAAAAUAUAGAAGCAAAAGAAUGAAAUAUAUAUAGAUAUAAUAUUAUAAUAAAUCAUAGAGAACCAGCCGCAGCUUGCGGAGUUUAAGCCGACUAGUUACAAAUAGAAAGAUACAGAGUUUUAGAAUCAAAACAGCUUAUACAACCUAUCUCUCAAAUAUGCCUCUAAUGCCACAAAGAUAAAACACAACAAGAUGUGAGAGUAACUAUAACAAAGUAAAAUAAAUUAAACCAUGGAGGAACCAUACUCCGCUCUGUCACCAUAUCCGCAAUCUCACCGAAGUAGAUUACGACCUGCAUCUGAAAAAUAACAACAAAGUAUGGAAUGAGAAUCGGAGGUUCUCAGUAUGGUAACAGUGCCCAAAAUGUAAGAUGUAAGGCUCCGGGAUGCCGAAGGCAAUCCUAGAACUUCACAUCAAACCGAUAUUCAAGCUUAGAACAAAAAAAUAUAAAUAAAGAACUUAAACCAUAAACCGGGUUAUCUAAACUUAGGAGAAUUCUAACUAAACUAGUCACACCGCUGUAUCCCACAGCCCUCGCCAACUGAACCACCGUGCGAUCCCAUUGCCACCGCCUACCUAACCUCCUCAGCACCAAACAAACACAGAUAAUGCAAGCAAGAAAAGCAUAGAUAGAAUUCAUACAUGUAACAAGUAAGUCAAGAAGCAAGUAGGCAUAUUAUACAAUUAGGCAAACUCAAGUAAUCAAAGCAAGCAAGCAUAUAGAAGAUGCAUAUGAUGAAUGCCUGUCCUAUUGGCUCGUGAUAUCACUUGUCGGUAUAUAAAUGCCAACCCGACACAUCCUCCCGGAUGUAGUCUUUUCUACCACGCCAGGGAUAUAGUGCCCUGCACACUCCUGCAGCAGCUCUUCUGCUACGCUAGGGAUAUAGUGCCCUGCACACUCAUGCAGCAGCUCUUCUGAUAUGCCAAGGAUAUAGUGCCCUACACACUCAUGUAGUAGGGAGUCUACUACGCCAGGGAUAUAGGCCACACACACUUCAUGUAGCAGAAAAGGAAAUAACCAUAAUAAAUCAUGCAGCAGAACAAUCUGCCAUGUCGGGGAUAUAGGCCCCGCACACUCCUCAACAUUCAACAAGUCAUGCGACAUAAACAUCUACCAUGCCGGAGAUAUAGGCUCCGCACACUCUCAACAACAACUAGUCAUGCAGCAGAACAAUCUGCCACGCCGGAGAUAUAGGCUCCGCACACUAUCAACAAUCCAAUAACUUCAUCCUCAAAUCAUCACCAAACAUCACCAUUUCUCAUUUCAAAUCACUUUCAACAACAUCUACUCAUGCAGCAGAGAAACCUGCUACGCCAGGGUUAUAGGCCAUGCACACUUUCCUUCCAUAUCCAUCAUCAGUUCUUAAUUCUAUUCUGAACUCAUUAGUUCCUCAUUUCCCAAUUCCAGUACCAUUCUCUUUUUUCACUCCACCAAGCCCAUCCUCAGUACACCAGAAACCUAAACUUCUGUUUGUUAACUUUUCAAAAUAAUCAUCAACUAAAACCCUUAGCUUAAUUCCCAUGUUCUAAUACUCAAAACUAGGCCCAAGAGUCUUAAAAUAGUGUUAUAGAAGCUUACAACCUUGUUGGAAAGGUAGAAUAGUUGAAAAACAAGUAAAAUUUGAGAAACAGGGCGUGUGCGUCCGCACAGGGGUGUGCCUGCGCACGCCCAGGAAAUUUUUAAAAGUGUGCGUACGCACAGGAGUGUGCGUACGCACAGGUGUCAAAACUCAAAAUGGUCUGUUCACUCGCACAACCUGUGCGAGCACCCCCCAACAAACUGGCCUCCCCAACGUGUUCGUGCGCACAGGUCUGUGUGUAUGCACAGGUUGCAAUUUCCCAUUGGUGUGCGCGCGCACAAGCUGUGCCAGUGCUGCAAGCAGAGUGCCUGCCUCUGCCUGUGCGGACGCACAGGUCACAAUUUUCGCAGAGUGUGCGUGCGCACAUACCAGAAAACUCAUAAUUCUGUAACUUUGUAGAAUUUUCAAAUUUUCAACCCCAACUUUGAAUGAUCAUAACUUCUUCUACAAAAUUCCAAAUUUUACAAACUUUAUAUCGAUUGAAAGGGGUUUUCAAAGAUCUUUGAUUCUAAACAAAUUUCAACCAAUUUUGAAAACCAAGGCAAAAGUUAUCAUCAGACAAAGUUCACUAAAAAUCUAUUUUUACCCAAAAACCUCAUAACCUCAACUUAACCAACUUUCAAACCAAAACCAAUCUAAAUCAUCCCAAACAAUAUCAAAACAUCCUAAAAAUCCCUACCUCUCAUUCUUCAAGCUCAGCCAUCAAUAAUCUCCCCUUUACACUAGUCCAUACCAUCAAAAUCAUUAUCCUCCAACAAACCAAAAAUCAUCACAAACAAUCCUAAUAUUCACAUCCAACAAUUAAUAUCAAAUUUAUCAACUUUGUCAAAUUACCAACAACAUCAAUAUUCUUUAUCAAUCACCAACCAUAUCAACAAGCCCUUACCAACACAAUAAAUCACAAAUUCAUCAACAACCUUCACAAUCAUUAAAUUUCAACAAUCAUCAUUAAAUCAUACUUAUCAUAAUCAUUAUUAUUCCAAUUCUUUCCACACCACACUAAUACAACAUCUAUCAAUUUCCAUCAACAACACCAAUCCUCACUCUAUCAUCAAAUUCAAUAUCCAUCUCCAACAACAUACUACCAACAUCAAUAUAACCAUUUAUCAAUCAUUUCAAAUCAUCAAUUACCAUGCAACACUUCCAUCAACAUAACCAAAGUUUAUCAAAUCAUCAUAAAUCAUCAUAUCUCAACAUUCAACAACUCAACAUCUAUUUUAAUUCAAACCUAUCUUAUGGGUCUCUAGUCUAAGUUUCCAGAAACAUUACAUAUUACAUAAAAAAAAUUGAAACCAUACCUUGGCCGAUUCCCAAAUACACCAAACACCAAAACGAAGCCACCAAACUUGAUCCAAGGCCUCAACCAACUCCAACAAACACCAAAACUCAAACUAACAACAUAUAUAUAUACCAACAUCAAAACCUAAGAUACAUAAAGCAACUAAACACAAGGGUUUAGUGAAACCUUACCUUAUCCAACGAGAUUAGGGGUAAAAUCCAACAUUUACCCGCUACUAGAGAUCACCUAAACAAGCAAAACCACAAAAUUUGCUGAAGAACUAAACCCAAAAUACGCAGAAACUUAGGGCAGAAAACUAGGAAUUAGAACGAGAUUCUUUACCAUAUUUUCUUAGAUAGAAGGGAAGAGCUCGUCAAGAGCUUCCUGUGACCAUAAACGGCUCGUCAAUCGGAGGUCUGUAGCUCAAGUUAUGGCCCCCGGAAGGUGGAGGUGAAUAGUAACACCACCCCCUUUCUCCCCUCCUCUCUAAAUCCGCGGCCCUCUCUCUCUUUUCCCAACAAAAUGAGUUUAAAACUCAUUAAACACAUAUAUAUAUGUUGGACCUUGGGCCUGGUGUGGGCUCGGUCCAACCCGUUAGCGUUUUAGAUCCGUUUGGCCCACUUUGGGCCAAAACCUUUAAGAUUAGUGCCCGGUUUUCAAUUCUGAAUUAUUUUUCUCCUUUCAAAAUAAUAAAUCAAUUUUUUCAAAAUAUUAUUUUUCUCAAAACACAGUACCGGACAGGCUUAAACCGGUUCAACCGAUUUGGCUGCCGGUUCUCGGUCUUUCGCAGAAAAUACAUUUUCCGAUUCAGAAAAAUUCAUUGAAACCAAAUUUCACCUUUUUACUUUCAAAUUAAAACUUCUAAAUUUUGAAUCCAUCUUGGACACUUAAAAUUAUUACUUUAUUAAAAUGGUUUUGCGUGAAAAUUUCGGUUCUUACACAUUACACUUUGAAUUAAGCCCUAACGCACUUCUGCCCUCUCCAUCCCUCUUUUUUCCUACUUUUGUCCUAUUUUUCUACUUGUUUUACUUAGUUUUCUUUGUAUCUCUUUUUCAUUUUAGUAAUUAUAUAUGGUUUGCUUUAGUUGUUUGUUAAUUGAAUAAGUUGCAAGUGUUUGUUUGAUGUUGAUUGGGUUGCUUCUUGAUUGAAUUUCAUCAAUACACUUAUGCUUUGUCUUAAAUUACUAGCACCUAAUUGGAUUUGCACAUUUACAUUUUGUUGCAUAUUAGGUGAAAUUUUUAUAAGUGCACAUUGGAUUAAGUGAAUUGAGUUGAAAUUACUUGUUCAUCGUGAUUUUCAUAUCAAAUUCACCACAUAACAAGAUACUUGUUUAUUUUUAAUGCUUUACAUUUGUUUGAGUGACUUGACUUGAUUCUUAUCAAGCUUAUCACUUUUUGCAACAAGUACCUUUACCAUGUGACUAUUUCGUUAUGUUUCAAGAUGAAUAAGUAAUCUUCUUCUCAUUAUUGGAUUGUUUAUUAUUUAUUGUGCUUCCAUAUCAACCUUGCGCUUUCUCUUGCACAACUUCAAUAUCCAAUAUCUCAAUUACUCAAUUAACUUUUGUGGUUACCUAGGGUUGCUUGUGACUUAAGUUUUGCUUAUUCUUUACUUGCAACUUAGGCUACUUAAUUGAGGAACAUAUGCUAUUUCUUUUGAUUGUGUGGAUACUAUUUACCCGGCCAAUGUGUGUGUUCUAACACGUGCGCACAUUUAGAAUACACACAUUAUCUUUUAUCAUACCACACACAUAUGAACUCUUCCUCAAUUGUUGUUUAUUUGUUUAUACAGCAACCCGGAGCCCUGAUGCCCACCAGUUGAAGGUGGAGGAACUUGGAACCUCGCUUCUCUUCCCCUCGGAUUGUGUGCAUGCACAGAGGACCUGCAAUGUUUAAGUGUGGGAGAGGAUCUGCAAUUUUUGGGGCGUAAAUUUCUCUUUCUCAACACUUUGCAUUAUUUUCUAGUUUUUAGUAGUUAUGCUUUCUUUUGAAUAUUUGUUGAUAUUUCAUUAUAUUGCAUUUUACUUAGUUUGCUUGUAUAUAUCUUAGCUUGCUUAUAGUUUUAUUGUAGUAAAUAUUUGCAUUUGCAUUUUCCUAGUAUAGGAAAUAAGUUUAGUAGAACAACAAGGAAUUUUCAUGAAAUCUCUUCUAGGGCGUUCCAUUAAUUAGAUUUGAAAAUUUAUUUUUAAACUUGCUUGAAGUAUUUUUAUGGAACAUAGAAAAGAGUUUGAACAAAAUACCUAGUGAGAUUUGAGCUUUAAUUGGAUGCUUGCACAUUUUCAACCAUAAAUUUUGUUCUUGUGUGUUAUAUUCCCUUUAUGAUUGUGAUCUUAGAUUUGCUUGAGUUUUUAUGUCCUAUAUUUGAUGUUUUGAAUGCAUUUAGUAUGAUUGAGGCUAUUUUUGAAUUGAACUCACUAAACCCAUAUGGCCAACCCUUACACCUACCUUUGUAAACCACUUUUGAGCCUUUUAAGUCCCCUUUGUCCUAAUUUUAAGCACAUCAUCCACACUAAGCGAAAGACCAUUAUGUCCAUGAAUUGUAUCUUUGAUUAUCUUGAGUUGAGAAGUGUGUGUUAUUCAAGUGUGGGGGAAUUUGUGGAGAAACAUUGGUAGUUAGUUUUCUUUGGAUAUUCAUUGAGAAAAUUUGGAAAAAUGGGUAAUCACUCAUGCAUUCAUUACUUAGAAACAUAUGCAUCUCUUUUUGAUGAUAAAAGGAAAGAGAAAUUUUAGUGUAUAUACUUUUUGAAAAAAAAAAAGAAAAAAAGAAAAGAAAAGAAAAGAAAUAAAAAUAAAAAUGUAAAUAAAGAAUGCAUAUGUGUGUAAAGUAAAAAGAAUUGAUGCAUGAGCGAAGGUGAGAAAGGAGAUGAAUGGGAAGUUGGGUUGGUUUCUUUUGUGUACAUAGGAUGAUAUAGGAUUAGGUAGGAUACUUGGGCUAAUCAAAGAUCCAAUCUACUAGUCCACUUAACCAUAUUAAUCCUACCCUUACCCUAGCCCCAUUACAACUCUCCAAAAAUCUCAUGAUAUUUGCAUUCAUGCAUCAAGUAUUUGUAUAUUGUUAGAUGAAUGGAAAAUCCUAGAAAAUAUUAUUAAAGGAGAAUUGAGUGAUUUAAACCCUAAACACUGAGCGACUAGAGUGUAUACACAUCCGGUGAGGGGUUCGAUCGCUCAAUUCUAUGUUUCCAUCACUUAUCUUGAGUCUUCUUGCAAGUUGCCAAAUUAAUUGUUGAAAAUUUCAAAUCAAAUCUUUGGACAUUGAUCAUAUUGCUAUAUUUUCUUUGCCUUGGCCCUAAUGAUCUAUUUUGGAUUGAUUGGAAUUCUCUUGUGUGUUUUUGUCAAACUCCAUAGGGAACCAUAUUAUAGAUAUAGAUAGAUAGUAUUUAGCAUAGUUGCAUGUAUGUAAGUAUUUGCAUUGAAUAAGUUGCUUGUCCUUUUACCCUUCUCCUUUGAUUGUGAUUAGCAUGAGGACAUGUUAUUGUUUAAGUGUAGGAAAAUUGAUGAAUCCAUAUUUGACAAUAAAUUUUGGUUUGAUUUGAGUGGAUUUCAUCACAUAAACUCACACUUAAUCGCUAAAAUAGCAUACUUUUAUGUUUUCUCUCUAAAUUGUGCCUAAUUGUGAAAACAUGCUAUUUUGUACUUAAUUUGAUCAAUUUUAUCCCACUUUCAUUCUAUUCAAUGCCUUGAUAAUUUUGAUGAGUGAUUUUAGGUGCAAUAGGUUGGAAUGGCUUGAUAAGAGUGGAAGAGAACCAUGCAUUUGGGAGAGAAUAUGAAGAAAUCAAAGGAGAAGCACACAGUCAUGUGUGCGUAUGCACAACAUCUAGUGCGUACGCACAAAAAGGAAAUCAGCAUGCAUGCGUACGCACAACACUCUGUGUGCAGGCACAAGUGGAAAAUUCGACAAAGUGUGCGUACGCACACACCUGUGCGUACGCACAGGUACCAGCGCAUAACUUCAUUAAAAAGUCACAUGGCUCACGUUUUAGGAGGCUUUUUGGCCCAUUUCUGAUGGCUUGAAGCAUAUAAGGAGGCUAGCAACACAACAUACUCAUACCAUACUUCAUACAACACAUUUUAGGAGUAGUUUUAGGGUAGUUUAGUUUAGGUUCUUCUCUUAAUUUUCCUUAGGUUUAAUUAGGGUUUGUAGCAUUUUAUAGUUCAAUUUUUGGUCUUGAAUUUCGCUAUCUCAUUGUAAGUAUUCCUUAAUUUUCUCUUUUAUCACAUUACUUGUUCUACACUUUCAUAUAUUUUAAUUUCUUUUGUCAAUAUAUAUAUAGUUUUGCAAUUUUGAGUUCUAGUUCAUGAAUUUGAUGUUUGAUGGUUAUUUUAUCUUUGUUGAGUUGCCUUUGUUGAUUGUGAUCCUUUGUGGUUCAUAGUUUUCAUCACUUUUCUAAUUUUGUCAUGUUUUAUGAUUAUGCACACUAUGUGUUUGAUAAAAUGAUAAUUUUGAUUAUGGAGUAAAUUUCCACCCCUUGGCUUGGGGAAAUAAAAUUAUAGAAUACUAGAGUCAUAAUGUCCAACAUUUAGUGAUAAUUCUUGGGUUGUUAGUUGUUAUUGUUUCCACUAAUGCUAGCUUCUUACUAAGGUAAUUAGUAAGUUAGCUAAGAUUUGUGGAUUAAUAACAAUUAUGCUUACUUGACCUAUCCUUCGAUGUUAAGGGUUAACCUAGUGAGAUUAAUCCAUCAUAAUUAUCAUAAUUGUGGUUAUGGUAAGGAAGAAAUUUCAUAACUCAUCCCAAGUCAAGGUUCCGUUUAUGUUUUGAACCACAUUUCCAUCAAUUUUGAGUCUUACUUGUCCAUAUUACAUACAUAGUUCUUUUGUUCCUUUAUUUGUUUAUUAAUUACAAUUUUGAAUCGUUCUUUUAUCUCUUUAUUUGUUUGCUUCCUGAUUAUUGAAAACCCUCUUGAUCAUCACAACCAAAAUUGUGCGCUCUUAGGCAUUAGUUCCUAGGGAAGACGACGCGAGAUUUAAUUACUCUCGGUUAUUUUAAUUUAAAAAAUAAACUUUGAUGUUUGGGAUUGAAUUGCCGGUUUGGACUAUGCUAUCAACGAAAUACUUAAUUUCAAUUGAGAAAUUCUAAACCGGUGCAAAUCCUUCAUCAUCCAUACCAUUGCCCACUAGUAUCAUCAACGUGCACCUUUAUCCGAGCUUCACACAUACACCGUGUGAUAGGUCGAGGAUCCUUCUUCCUGUCUCCCGCUGCAUGUGUUUCCCCUCUUGCUCUCCUUUUCUCGAGCACAUGAAUAUCUGCCAAAUGAUUUCACCCUCCGACCUCUGUUUUGUUCUGCAACCCACCUUCGACCUCCUCACCGAGAAUUCCUUAAUGUGAUCGUAUUCGUUGUAGUAUUCAUAAGCGGCCUACAAAUUUAUGAACUCUGUCAUCAGGAUAUCCUUCACUGUCAGGGCUAAAAAAUAAAUUGCAUUAAACGACCCAAUCCCAUCAACAAUCAUCACUGAUUCUUCUACUUCUAUGUUUGCAUCUGCUUCUGACAAAUCCAUCGCUUCUGUUUCCUCCAUAGGAACGGUUUCGCCGCUCAUCCCAUCUUCCCCAACCUAAAACACACAACAUAGGCCAUGGGUGACACCAAGCAAUGGGCUACAUCAACAUAAACUGAACAAUAAAAAAUUAUAAAUUUAUAAACUGAGCGCGCGCGCGCGCGCGCACGCACACACCCAUUUGCCUGAUACAGUUCACAUAUCCCACUAAGUGAAAUUUGGCAUUAUCAAUCAUAAAUACCAACACACAGCUAUAUCACACACCUCAGAAAAUAAUCUCGUAUAUAUACCAGAUCCAACUACAAUGUAACAACCAACAGCAAUUUUAACACACAUUUUAAUAACUUCCAAUUCCAAUUCAUCUGUGUACCUCUCUUAACGGCAACGUCCAACAUCAAAAACUUAUAACCGUUGUCAACAAAAUAAGAAAAACUACACACAUAGUACCGUCUGGACAAAGAUUACAAAUGGAUCCAAAUUUACUCUUCCAUUAUUUCUUCACUACAUUCAUUAUAUAAAGGUUUCACAGCUGAACACAUUUCAUUAAUGGGGACUAAAUUUUUCGUAAAAUUUUUUUCCAUUUUAAUUUUAAUCUCCACAAUUUAAAAACAGCAACUACCCACAUUAAAUGCAUAACAAAAUCAAACAUUUAAAUUCUGUAUAUUCAUAUCCACAUCGGACACCAUAAACAUUGGAACAUCAAAUUUGUUGUCAAUUCGAAAACACGACAAAGGUACGAUCCCCAAUUGAAACCAAUUUCGGAAGCAUACCUCCACCAACCUCUGAUGACAUUAUCGAAUCGUAAAUAACUCAACCUGAUCUACACAACGUACAUGCGUCGCUGGUUGCCCCAUGUGGUCCAUUGCCUCCCUUAUGGUGAACUAUAAGUCGGCCAAAUUUCGAUCUAUGCUUUCGUACCGUUCAAUCGCUUGAGCCUUGAAGCUUUCCGGUGACUCCAACCCAACUUAACUCUAACUAUUAAUGGACUUUGGUACUUUAUUGUAAUAAGAAAUUCUCAAUUCGUAAAUAAUUUUAUCUAUUUUUUUUUAAUUCUCCCCAACCGGUACUCUUCUUUAUUUGUGAACCAGCGAAUAUAUUUUUUAUUAUUUCCGUUUAUAAACUAGUGUUCAAAAUUUUAAAAAUACUUUUUCCACCAAAAAAUGCUCUUCGAAACAAUACACACUUAUCAUUGUUCAGAGGCAAGAUAUGACAAAUUAGUUCACUACAAAUAAAAUACCUUUCAAGUAUGAAGAUGGCAAAUACUGAACGAAUCAAUAAAAUAUGAAUUGAAACUUUAGGAUCUAUCCUUGAUGACCUGGCUGUUCGCAUCAAUUUUUUCAUCAAUAAAAAAUACAAGAUAAUUUUUACAAUCAAUUUCAUAAAAAUACAGGAUGUAUCCAACUCUUUUUAAUUGAUUUAAAUAUGAACUUAAGGUGAUUAUGAUUCCUUACCUAAGUUUGAGGGGUUAUUAAAGGUUUAUGGUUUCCAGUUUAAGAUUUAUUAUGGGUUAAGAUGUAAAAACAUAAAAUUAGUUACAUCUUUUGUGGCUAUUUUGAUAGUUUAAGAGAGUAGGUUUAAAUAGGUGUAUUAGCUUUGUACUGUACAGUAUAAAAAUGGAACAAUAUCCUUAUCGAAUACACACAGUUUACUUAAUAGUAAUACAUGAUAUAGUUCAGUAUUGAUUCUUACCUGAAGGCUUCGGUCGCAUGGUCGCAUAAUCGGAUCGACGGUUAAAUGUUAGUAAUUGUUGUGUUUCUAUGUUGCACCCUUUUUUGGUGAGAUUAACCAUCACCUAUACCAUACCAUAGGAAAAUUCUUAAGUGUACAGUUAUAACUGGUGUUUCAGUUAUUUUUAACCGUUGAUAUUUUUUAUAAAAAAUAUAUAUAAUUAUAUAUAAUUAAGAUUAACGGUUAAAAAUCACUGAUACACUGAUAUGACGGUACACUUGAAAAUCUUCCCAUACCGUAAUCCAUGUUUGCGAAUUCCAACCAAUGGAAAAAGGAAAGAGACGCCAUCUGGCCUGCCGAUCCAAACAACAAAUUUUGAAAAUGAUAUUGCCCCUGUUGACUUUACAUAUAAAUCAAGAUAGUUUACAGGAGCAAAUAAGUGUUUCACAUUUUUAACAUGUUACUAGCAUCCUUUAUCAAUCUUUUUACCCAAAUUAUUGUUACGUUGUUUGUUAAAUUUUAGUUGCAUGAUUGAUCUUACUCAUUUAUAUUAAUAGAAAAUGUAUCUUAUUAUGAGAAUGAAAUUUUUACACGAGAAUAUGAGUUAAAUAAAAAACUACAAGAAUAAAAUAUAAAAAAAUAUAUAAUUUNNNNNNNNNNNNNNNNNNNNNNNNNNNNNNNNNNNNNNNNNNNNNNNNNNNNNNNNNNNNNNNNNNNNNNNNNNNNNNNNNNNNNNNNNNNNNNNNNNNNNNNNNNNNNNNUUAAAAUAAUUUCCUAUUUAUUAUUUAUAUAUUGUUCUUGCUGAAGUUGACCGGUGUAUAGCUUGUCCGUCGAUGAAUGCCUUCAAGCUUCUCGUCAGGAUGAGUUAUAUGUCAGCAAGAAGAGAACAAGGGGGUGGGUACCUGCAAAAGACACUUCGACGCUCAAGUCAGUAAGUGUUUAAGAGGUAUAAGAAUAAUUCUAUGAAUAUAGAAUGUAAGACAUGAAAUAGAAGUCAUAAUGUAUUGUAUAUUAUAAUAAUUCUAUGAAUAUAGAAUAUAUCGAAAAUGUCUCUAGAAUGUCCAGUGUAUACAGAGAUUGGUGCCUUUUAUAGGCAUAGAGUUGAUAAACAGAAUUGAUGGUAUGACCGUUGAUCAUUAAGUCAGAAUAAUGGUCAUUAAGUCGGUAAUGAAGGUGUCAGUUAUAGAAUGAAUGAUAAUUAAGGCCGAGUUAUAACUAAUAAUGCACAAUAAAGACCGAGUUAUAAGGUUAUUGAAUUAUACAUUUAGCAUAAUGUUUCUAGCAAUUAUAGUAUGACAAGGGAUAUUCUUCGUGUAAUAAUAGUAAAUUGCCUGUUUAAUUUUCUACAUUAAACAAAUAGUAACAUAAAAUUUAAUAGCAUAAAGUGAAUAGUAUAACAAUUAUAUACAAUUGAUAUAUAAUUAAUUUUUUAUGAAAUCCAAUUUAAAGAUUUGAACUCAUCAUUACUGUCAUUUAAUUGUAUAAAACAUAUAUUGAGGUUUGAAUAUAACUAAUAAAGCAGUAAAUAUUAGUUACACAAAAUAUAAAUACAAAAAUAUAUAUGAAUAAAAUAAAUAAUGUUAUUUGUGUAAGUAGAGAACUUUGAAAAAGUAAGCGAAAUUGAUAAGUGAGUUUGUGCUAGGAUUGAUUGAAAACCGAGUUUGUUCUUGGAUUGAUUGAAAGUCGAGUUUGUUUUCGGAUUGGUUCAUUGAUCGAUUAUGAGACGUGAAAUAUUAUGAUACGUAAAAAUGAAGCAAUUUGAAUGUAUAAAGUACAUACUUUAUAAAAAGUUACGAUAGAUUAAAAUUUGAUAAGAGGUAUUAAAUAAAAUCUUAAACAAGAUUGUUGAGAUUGGUUCAAAAAUUUGAAUGUAGGAAUUAUUUUACUCGUCCCCACAGACGGCGCCAAUUGUUCUUGCUGAGAUUGGCCGGUGUAUAACUCGUCCGCCGGUGAAUACUUGUAAGCUCUCCGUCAAGAUGAGGUAUACGUCGGCAAUAAGAGAACAAGGGGGUGGGUACCUGCAAAAGACACUCCGACGCUUAAAUCAGUAAGUGUUUAAGAGGUAUAUAAUAAUUCUAUGAAUAUAGAAUGUAAGACAUAAAAUGAAAGUUAUCAUGUGUUAUGUUGUGUUUAUAAUAAUUCUAUGAAUAUAGAAUGUAUUAUUGAGAUUAGAUAUAGAAGGUUCUUUUUUAGGCAUAAAAUUGAUGAAUAGAAUUGAUGUUAUGACCGUUUGGUCAUUAAGAUAGAAAUGAUGGUCAUUAAGUUGGUAAUGAAUGUGUCAGUUACAAGCAAAAGAAUGAAUAAUAGUUAACGCCGAGUUAUAACUCAUAAUGCAUAAUAAAGACUAAGUUAUAAGGUGACGGAUCAUAUAUAUUAUUANNNNNNNNNNNNNNNNNUAAUUUUUAUGUGUAUGUGUACAUAUAUUAUAAUCCAUCUAAUAAAUAAAAGAAUAGAUCAAAUAUAUCAAAAAGUAAAAAUUUAUUUGCAUUUAUAAUAAUCAUUAAAUAAUAAUUUAAUUAAAUAUAUUAAAUUAUCUAAUAAUUUUCAUGGUUAACACAGUUAGAUGUGAGUUUUUACAAUGUAAAAAGAAAGCAAACAGCAGUCUACGAAAUGUUAAAACGGCGUUAUUUGACGUUGGCGAAAUGUAGUGAGUAGUGACAGGAGGAAAUGCAGAAAAGUCGCCGAGGAAUUGGGACGUGGUGUGUGUGGAGUGUGGACCCUCCUUCCUCUCGCCACUCUGUCGGUAACUGCCUCGAAUUCGUCGCCGCCUAAAAGUGACACUCCAUACGAGGCUACUUUUCAACUUUACUAUUUAUUUAUUUUUCUUUCGUAAAAGGCAAAAUAAUAAAUAAAAGAAUAGUAUGUACUGUAUCUAGUACAGUAACACUAAAUCAGCAACACCAAUCUUUUUUUAAAAAUGAUUCAAUUAGAUAGAUAGAGUUUUUGCAUUAUCGGGGAGCUCAAUAACGCAACUACUCCCCUGACUCACUUUUUGAUUCCUUUUCCUCUCAAUUAUUUAAACAUCAUUAUGUCUAUCUUCUUCCUUCUCUCCUCCAUUUCCUAAUACUGCCCUUCUUUUAGUUUCAGAUUUCAAACAAUCCUGCGGUCCAUAGGACCUGUAAGUGGUGAGGGUGCACACAUCAUGUCCACUCCCACCAAAAUCAAAGGGUUCCUUUCAUUGUCGUGUUAUCUAAAUAGUUUUUCCUUAAAAAAAUACUUAUACUCUUAUUAAUUUAUUUUUAAGAAUGAUGUAUGAAUUAUUUUUACACAAGUAGAAAAACACAAAAUUUACUUUUUAUAACAUAAAUAAAAAAUAUAUAAGAAAGUGGAGGUAAAAUAAAUAUUAUGCAAACAUUAUCUUUUACUUAUUUAUAAUUUAAUGUAUCAUAUAUAUGUGUAAUAAAUAUUCAAUUUAAGAUGAUAAAAUGCAAGAUUACUUACCUAGUUACCUUGAGUAUUUUGAAUUUUUUUGUAGUUAGUAGCUUCUUAAUGUGUAUUUUAUUGAAACUGGUAUACCUUUCUAAAUCCCUGGAGUAUUUAUUAAUUAAGGAAGAAUUAAAAUAAGUGAAUAAGGUAAACAUUUUAUUAAUGAGUAGUAUUCUUAAAAAGGUAAAAGUAAAAGAAUAUCUUGAUACAAAAUUUAUAAGAAUAUAAAAACAUUAUAGAAAGAAGAAAUUACAAACAAAAUUGGCGAGUGCAAAAUAAACAAUAAGUUAAGCCAAGUUUGAGUUAAUAUUAUUGUAGGGGCCAUGUGAAAUGAUAUUUUGGUACAUUAUAAAGUUGAGCAAGUGAAAUGUUGUAGGAGGAGAUAAUAUUAUGAGCUCUCCUGAGUCCUGAGAGAAGAGUGGUGGUGGUCGUCGUUUUAAGUGAGACGCGUCCAGAAGCCAGGCGAUGAGCGUGCAUGUGCGUGUGCGUGGUAGGUUAGGGUCUACCCCUGCACCUUUUUUUUUUCUCUUUUGUUGUACCCUUUAUAAACCCCUCCUGAUCUCUCCAUCCCCCAUUCCAGUGAUCACACACACACUCUCUCUCUCAAGUGGCGGCCGGGAAAGUUUUGUUUUGUUGAGGGGAAUGUUGUCUGGCUCGAGGACCCUUCCUUUCCCUUCCCUUCCCUUCUCUAAAUGAAAUAAGAGUCGUCGGACCAGGCUUCAUUCCCCCCANNNNNNNNNNNNNNNNNNNNNNNNNNNNNNNNNNNNNNNNNNNNNNNNNNNNNNNNNNNNNNNNNNNNNNNNNNNNNNNNNNNNNNNNNNNNNNNNNNNNNNNNNNNNNNNNNNNNNNNNNNNNNNNNNNNNNNNNNNNNNNNNNNNNNNNNNNNNNNNNNNNNNNNNNNNNNNNNNNNNNNNNNNNNNNNNNNNNNNNNNNNNNNNNNNNNNNNNNNNNNNNNNNNNNNNNNNNNNNNNNNNNNNNNNNNNNNNNNNNNNNNNNNNNNNNNNNNNNNNNNNNNNNNNNNNNNNNNNNNNNNNNNNNNNNNNNNNNNNNNNNNNNNNNNNNNNNNNNCGUUUCGUCUUUUGUUUUUUUUCCAUUUUUACUCACUCAAAUCUACAUGCUCCACUUUUCUUUUUUGGUGUAAUAAUAAUCAUCAACCUGGCUGCACAAAAAUGAUUUUCAUCAUUACCUCCUUUUCAGAUCUUUCAUUUUCAUUUUCUCAUCUAAAUAGUUAUCAUGAUGUUUUCUCUGUCAGCUUCAUCAUCAUUACCUAUCUUUCUUCUCAUUAACUGGAUCUGAUCCGAUCUGUCUCUUUCUGCCAUUUUUUUCAAACAUCUCGUUGCCUUUCAACCCACCACAACCUCCCCCUCUUUUUCCUUUGCCUUUCUCUCUCCACCUUUUCUUUUCUCUCUCUCUCUCUCUCUCUCUCUCUCUCUCUCUCUCUCUNNNNNNNNNNNNNNNNNCUACAUUUUGGUCCUAAUCUCUACAAUUAUAAGCUAAUGAUGUACCCUAUGUGAAGAACCAAGACGGGACAGGAUAGACGUUAUUUUUUGUCAACUUUAUUGUUAUGAUGAUGAGACACAUUAUUGAGGCCUGAGUGGUUCAGGACCAAAUUCCGAAAUCUUGUAUAAUGGAUCACCUUCUUAAUUUGUCUGGAUUUAUUUCAAAUUGAGAAACAACAAAGGCAUAAGCAUUUAACCACUCUUGUGAUUUGUUGCAUCAAUUCAGGUGCUACUAUCUGGCUCUCUACUGGUAGCUUAGCUCUAGGUUUAUAAUGUCGCAGACCUUAGUUUUGCUUAGUUUUCUUUCACUUUUUAACCUUAACUUUAUAUCUCAUUUUGAACCUAAACCCUAAUUCCAGCACUUCCCAUGUUCAUUUCUUUAGUUCAAAAGUGAAUUUUCACUAAGGUGGUCAGAUGGAGUAUUAAAAGUGAGAGGAGAAAGAAAAAGUUAUAAUGCUUAGUCAUCACUAAAGCCAGGGUUUUUCUUAGAUCCUGAAUUUUUGAGAGCAACUAGAAAGAUAUCAUUUGAUUACAAUCACAUAAAAAAUCCAAGAAAUAUAGUCAAAUGCUGCGAAAGGAAAGGAUUCUUUUUAUCUUACUGAACAUGCGGAAUAAGUAGUUGUGCAAGUGGUAAGGAUUUUUUUAGUUUUUUUGUUGGUUGGGGGCGUUUUCUUUGUAUUUAACCUUUUGAUUUCUUCAUGAACAUAAGCUACAGGGUUCCCAAAGAGAGAAUGACAUCAAGCCAAAGUUUGAAUGAGAAGCUAGCUAGGGCCAUAGGGAAACAGUCCUUAUUACUCAGCAUUUAGCAUUUGCUUUAUUUUAUCACCCUGCUCAUUGUCAUUGAUACUUGCACGCAAUGUGUACUUUAAGCACACACGCCUGCGUUAAUUGGCAUAGAAUUUGGUAUUUCUCUCGUCAAUUUGUGUAUGUUUGAAAUGUUAAUAUGAUUCAGACAAAUAUAGUUAUGAUGGUAUCCAUAUUAUUGUCCUCACCGGUGUUCUAAAAUGAGAGUAGUUGCUGUAAAGUAACUGUAUGAGGAGUGUGCGAACGCUACAUAUGUUUUGAGUGUGUGAGAUAAAAAAGUGCUCAGUUUGGGAAAUUGGAUCUUUUGAAACUUUCUGCAAACAAAAACAAAACAUACAAAAAGUUGAAGUGAACUCGAAGCCAGAUGGGUACGUUUACUUUAAUUUGUGUUUCCCUAUGCAUUAUUAUUAUAUUGUAAAGCUGAGUCAGAUUUGUUGAAUGUUGAAUUCUUCACAUUUUUUGACAUCUUUUUGUACGACUGUUUGGAUAGGAAUUCGUUGAUCUGGAGGACUUGCAUUGGUAGAUAAGGGUAUAGUACAAUGAGGCUGUCAAACUUUCUAUUCGGUUGCCCUUCUGUCACACAUACUAUAUAUUAUAGUGCAAACAAACAUACAAAGAUCGUAUUUUCUCGUAUAAAUAGACAAACACCUACACACAUUUUCGUGUGUGAUGAUUUAUGUUUAUUACAUUUUCAGGACCAGAGAUAUCAUACUUCUAAUAAUUCUUAAUUAUAUGUUAUUUUUAUAUGAAAAUAUUUU